Molecule: long non-coding RNA, 54235 nt
Filed under: Malus domestica (apple)
Lineage: Eukaryota; Viridiplantae; Streptophyta; Magnoliopsida; Rosales; Rosaceae
Description: long non-coding RNA (MDOM_LNC011918)
Source: RNAcentral
CAUGUUCCUCUGGGACCAGUCAUUCCUUCCCUAGAUUGGCAGUUGGCCUGGGUCGUGGGAGGGGAUCGAGUCUUUCAGAAACCCUUGGGUCAUUGAUUUUCGAGCAUAUGUGGAGGGGAUUUUUUCGACGUUGCUUUAGGAAGUCUCGGCAGUCACGAUAAAUGGUUUUCGAUCCUUCCAACCUUUCUGCAAGGAGGUGUCUUCCUCCACUUUUUCUACUUCGGGUCGAAGCAUCUGGGUUGAAAGAAGUCUCAUGUUGAUCAAUGUUUUGAUGAUUAGCUCGCUCCUCAUCAGGGAUACCCAUGUCGAAUGGAGGUGACCCUCCGUGUUGGGGGGCACCCAGAUGAUAGUUGAUGUCCAUAGGGGUAACGAGCUUCCGUGUUUGAGUACGCUUAGUUUCGUGGAGUGUCUUAAAGAGCUUCUCAUACUGCUCCUGGAGGACCUCAUUCUUCAUUUCUAUCUUGUUGUUCUAAGCUUUUAGCUCAUCGACUUUAGCUUGAAAAGCAACCAUCUUUCCUUCAUUCUUUCGUUUCUUCGCACUAGGUGCAAGAGGGGUGUCAUUCUAUGUGCUGUGGCUUCCUUCGCUCCCCAUGUUGGAAAGGGAUGCCUGGUCAAAAUAGAGUGUACGAAUGGUGGAAACCAGCUUGGCAAAGCUGAAGAGAGUGGGAAUAAGUGUCGUUCCCACAGACAGCGCCAAAUGUUGAUACACAAAAUCAGCGAGGACUUUGGUACAACAAAAAGUGUUAAGUUUGUGACAUUCGCUAGAUUGCUCCGAUCAUUAGUGUGGAUAAGUAAGUAAAUGGAUAGGGACAGGGAAGCAAACACAAGAUGUACGUGGUUCACCCAGAUUGGCUACGUCCACGGAGUAGAGGAGUUCUCAUUAAUUGUGAAAGGUUUACACAAGUACAUAGGUUCAAGCUCUCCUUUAGUGAGUACUAGUGAAUGAUUUGGUACAAAUGACAUUAGGAAAUAUUGUGAGAGAAUGAUCUCUAUUUAUAGAAGAGAGUUUCUAGUUUCAUUCUGACUUUGACACGUGUCGUGUUGUGAUUGGCUUCUGAUGUUGACACGUAUCGCGCUAUGAUUGGCUUCUGAUGUCGACACGUGUCGCACUGUGAUUGGCCUCCUGGUUGGAGGAAAACUCUUCUGGGUCAUUGACGGUAUAAUGUUGACUGGUGCUCAGUAGUUUCGGGAUUGGUCAAGUAUGGUACAAACACAAAAUGUAUUGAUGCUAGGUGAAUAAGUCGCAACACAAAAUGAAAACGGACCAAUGCCAAAUUAAAAUGUAUCGACCAAAUUUAUUUAUUGGUACUAGAUAAAGUACGGACCCAAUUUAUUUACCCAUUCUAUACAUGCCACUUCAAGUAAUGCUUAGAAAGUACAUGCCUACUAACACACAAUUAACUUUAUAAAUUAAAUAUGAAAAUAAAUGUACCAAUCAACAAUAUUAAUAAAAUCGCUUUGAAAAAAAUGUAUAAAGUUAAAUUGAAUAUAGAAAUAAACGUACCAAUCAACAAUAUGAGUAAAAUUGCUUUAAAAAAAUAAUAUAUAUAUAUAUAUAUAUAAUCAAACGAUUGUGGUGGCACUAGUGGCGGUUGUGGUGGCAGUUGUGACGAUUGUGGUGGCGGUGCAGUGGUGGUGGUGGUGGCAGUGGCGGUGAUGUAAGGUUAGUGUUUAUAGUGGUAAGUGGUGGCAAUCAUUUUAUUCUCCAAGGAUUAAAUGUGUGUAGAAGGAUAAAAUAUGUUAUUUUAAAAAACUAAUGAAGGUAUUACAAGAAUUGAAAAUUUUCAUUAAAUGCUCAAUUCCUUUUAAAAACAACCUAUAUGCUUCUUUUAAAAAUUGUUGUAUGGAGACUAUUGUUUUUAAAAUAAACAGAAUAUUUUAUUUUUACCAAACACUUUUUACUGCUUAACUAUAAAUGAAACAAAUUUCGAUAAAAAAAAAACAACACCAAACGAAGCAUAAAACCUAUUAACAAGAAGUGGAGGAGUCUAAUUUCCUCAUGUCUUAAUUAGCAUCUUAACACUAAUUAGCUCGCAAAUAUUUGACUAAUAUACAUAACAAUAAUCAAUCUAACCGAUAAAGAAGCCAUGAAGCCACUCUUCAAUGUUGACCUUCUCAUCCACGUCAAAUUCUCGAUGUUAACAAUAGGCCUUAGUUCAACAAUGAGCAUAUAUUAUUCCGUUAUACUUUCAAAACCAAUAUGAACUCAAACAUUCGGCUAAAAUACACCUCAUAUUCGAACAAUAUAUUUUGUUAAUUGUGAAAGGUGAUUUGGAAGAUAAUUGUGAUACUUGAUGCCAUGCGCGCUCUCGAUUUCUAACUACUCAUGCCGCCAUUGUCAUUGGGUAUGACCGGUGACAACUUGGUGGAAACGUAGCAAUUCGACACGAUUAUUCUCCAAACAUAUGAUUGUUGAGAGCCUGAAUCCUAUGUAAGGGUGGGCAACGGUUAUGCCAGACGGGUAACCGCGGUUAUUUACUUAUAACUGUUUAUGCUCAUACUCGCAUAACCGUUUACCCAUUUGGUAAUUGCCUAAAUUGUUAUACUCAUACCUAUAACCGUUUAUAAACGGUUAACCAUACCAAUAAUCGCAUACCCAUUUAACCGUAACCGUUUAAUACCCGUUUACUCAUUUUUAACUUGUUUAUCUUUUUCCCAUUUUUAACUUGUUUAUCUUUUUUUUUUACCAUUACCCAUUUUUCACCCAUCUACAUGUUUUUUAACAAAUUGAAAUUUUAAAAAAAAUUUGUCAUAAUUUUUUUUGACAAUUAAACACCGUUAUAGGGGUACAUUCAUUAUACAUUUCCUUAUUUUAAUUUUUUAAGUCCUUAUACCGUUUCAAUAAUUGAAAUAAUAGUUUACAGACGAUAUUUUUAAGGGGUGUGAUAUCCACACACCCCAUUUUACUUCUCACACACCUUUUUAAUUUUCGACCGUCGGAUCAGAUGAAUUGAAGAAGAUCAACGGACAAUAAUUAUUAAAGGUGUGUGAGAAGUAAAAUAUGGUGUGUGGAUAGCACACCCCUAUUUUUAACUGUUACCAAUGAAGGUAAUAUAAUAUUUGCUAAGUAUUCUUGGGUUAUGAAAACUGUUUAGAAGACAGUAUUUUUGAGUUAUUUAACCCAUAGUGCAAAGUAUUAACAUAAUAUAUAUAAUGAGCUACAUUAUUUUAUAAUUAGCUAUAUAAACCAUGCACUAUAGUCAAUAGCAUCAGAGGUGCAAUUUGGGCUGAGCCAACCCGAACCCGCCCAUGUCUAACCUGACUUUAAACUCGAAUAAGCGAAUUUUGUUGUUGUUAUAACCCGCCUGAACCCAACCCGAUUUCAACCCGUUCAUUGAUUGGGUUGGAUUGGGUUGAUCAUUUGUCCAUCCCAACCCAAUCCAAUUAACCAAACCCUAUUAGGUUGAGCUGUGCAACAUACUUCUCAAUAACCUUUGCACCUUUGCACCUUUGCACCUUUGCACCUUUGCACUUUCAUGAGAACCUACUGAUAUGAUAUACAAUUUGACUUGAAAGGAAUCAUAUUAAGUUUAUUUUGCUUUUCACAUCACAUCCUGUAGAACAACUUCCUUUAUUAAAUUAAUAUUGCAACUAUUCGACCUCUCUUUGAGAUCUGCUUCACAGUUUGAGUUGUGAUUGUUUCUUAUGCUGAUUCAGACGAAGUAGGCUAUUGAGCAAGUAAAUUUGAGGGAAAGUGAUUUUAAGGUCAGUUGUUUGCUAAUACAAAUAGGUUGACAUCAUUGUUGAAAAACAUUAAACACUACUUGAAAAAGUUAGGCAACCCAAACUCAACCCAAGUAAAUCCAAACCCGAUUAAACCCGAGCCCGACUAAACCCGAUUAAAACCCAAUCCGAACCCGAACCCGAAUUGUAAAAGUUGGGUUAGGAUUUGGUUGAUUUUCCAACUCGCCCGAGUUGCACCCCUAAAUAGCAUUGAUCUAAGUUUUGUCCUAUAGAGAACAUGGUUUGUGUUAAUUUUACAUAUAUAAAAUAAAUGGGUAAACGGUUACCUGUUUAUAACCGUUAUUUAUACCUAUAACCGUUUAUUUAUCUAAAUAGUUACCUAUAACCAUAACCGUAAAGUUUAAAUAAGUGGGUAACUGCGAUUACAAGGUAUUUUACCCAUAUUCCCAUGUCAGAAAGUAAAGCAUUGCCGUAUAAUUUAAAUUAUCUUAGAUCAGUUGAUUUUAGACCGAAUGUUCACAUUCUAAAAUUUCUAAUAACGUCUGCGUUGGUUGUGAUAUGAGUUCUGCACCUCCGAUAUUGUAAAGCAUUAAAUAAAGGCCCAAUUACAAAUUCAUAAUUUUGGCCCAUGGUUUUUGGGCCCAGAGUAAGGUUGCGUAAUUUCCAGGGUCAAGUUUUAAAUUUGAUGCUUAAAUAGCAAGCCCAACCUUUUGCAAUCUCUUACAUGGGCAUUUUCCAGUCUUUACUUUUCAUUUUCAUUUUUACUUUGGAAUUCUAAUCCUGUAUAACAGUACAUGUGGAAAAUCUAUAUCUUUUUUUCUUUUUCUGCAUAUUCCUGUUUAGUUUUGUUAUUUGAUUUUCUAAUACUUUAUUUCAUUCAAAGGUUAGAAAUGAGCAAGAUUUGUGUGUGGGAGAAAAAAGUGUGUGCGACAAUCAUUUCUCAUUUCAUUUUUUAUCGAGGAGAUAAGAGAUUCAAACUUAAAAUCUCUUCUAACAUUGAGAAGUAUCACUAUUGUACUAACGACUAGUUGGUAAUCUUGCACAUGUGUUCAAAACCAAAAAAUUUCUAUUUUGUAUAAUGAGAUGCAAAAUUUAGAUUGCAACGAAGUUCUUCUUUUUAUGCAUGUGAGAGUGAAAUUGCAAUAAAUCGAACAACUUCAAUUACAUAUAUAAGAGUUUCUUUUCUUGUUUGUUAGAAAAUUUUGUGCAGAACGGUUUCAUAUUACAUAUGUAUCUUUUUACUUUUUAUCACGUAUCUUGUCAGGUGACUUCGCAAUGAGAGAUAGAAACACGUCAAGAUACAACGAUUGUUCCAAGAAAGUUUUCUAGUGGUAUGAGAAAGUUAACGAAAAGGGUUGGGACUUGGGAGGCGUUACGUCGUUAUCUGUAACGGUCUUAACAUGGAGCCAAGAUGGGAUGGUAGGGUUUUCGUGUGCAUGAAGGAUGCAGAUGACCUGAUCUGCCUUUCCCUUUGUGCUUGUGACCUCCUGCAAUUUCCAUAUCGACAAAACUUUUGCCCCUUGAUGGAAAUAUCCAACUUUGUGGGGGCCACCAGUCCAAUCCAUGCAUGGAUCCGGCCCGUUCAAUUUUCAUCGCCAGAAUUCAGUUGAUCACCUUGAUAUCAUGACCUAAUUCAAUCAUCAUUUGGAAGACUUUUUUGUCAAAUAAAACGAAAUAAUUGAUUAAUAUGAUUACAAGAUUAAUUCUUCAUUUUCAACAAUAUUGUAGGAUUUAUUUACUAGAGUGAUAGAAGAUUUGAACUUGAAUCCAGACCGCUUUAAAAACUCGUAAAAAAAUAGUAUCAAUGACCAUUUCCUCCUGUUUUGGAGGCAAAUUUGGUCCACUGUUUUUGUGCAUGAAUAAUGGUUGCCUUUAGUAUUAUUUGCUACUUUUUCUUCAGUAAAACAAUAAUACUGUCACUUUCUAUGAUGCCCAUUUCACACUAGCAUGCCCUGGAAGAACUAAAUAUCUUUUGUCAACAAAAAUCUUCCAUAGGUUGUUCCAAUCCAAGCUAGCCUUGGGUUGUCAUGAUGAUUUUGGUUUUAAUACAAAGUAAAUGGUAUAUAUCAACCGACCAACUGUAUAAGUUACUGUCAGUCGUUAAUAUAUGAACGUUGGUUCAUAUAAAUCUCAUAGGUUCCAUUUGGUGUACGAAAUGAAAGGUUGUGAGUAACAGUUAUAUCCUUAAAGAAAAUAUUGACAAAUUAUGUAAUGUACCCAUCCUGCAGUCCUCAUGUUGGCCAUAACCCUACCCAUGUGCAAAUACAAGUGAACAUAUAUCUCUUUUAAUGUAAUCAAAAUUAAAUUGAAACUUAAAACUUAAAUAAGAUUAGGGUUUUGAAUAUUCUAACGUGCAUGGGUUUGGUGACAUAGCAGGUUUAUUCGGUCCCUCGUACACUAGCAAAAGAGCUUGAAAUUAAUUAAUAUAAUUUUAAUUAAAUUAAAUAAUAAUGAUUAAGCUGAGUAAGAAGGAAGAAAGAUCUCCUAAUUAAUCAUCUCCCAAUUGGAUGCAUGACAGUAGCAUUUGGCCCACGUUCCGGAGUAGGCUCCAUCCUCCAUAACAUGCACAUGAGCUGCCAACCAUUUGGUCUCUCUGGGACCGCAUCAUAUUCAUCUGCAGUUAUUUGGAUUCUCAUACGAUCGACACAGAGAGAGAGAGAGAGAGAGAGAGAGAGAGAGAGAGAGAGAGAGGUUUGCAUUGUGAUGAGUGUGAACCCAUGAGACGUUGCAUAGUAUUAUCUUCUGCUACUAUCCCUCCCCAUUGGUUCUGCAAACCCAACACCAACCAAGAUAAGCGUUAGGCUAGUCGGUCGCCUUACCGCUUCUGGUGACGGUAUACUGUUGAUGUAUGUAUAAAUAAUGAACGACUGAGUUUAGUAUUCAUCUAUCUCUUUUGAAAUACCAAACGUACAAUAUGUGACAUUUGUGUAACAAAAGCCGUCUCCUUAUUCUUAUACUUCCAACACCUAGAGUAGUACGUAGCAGUGGUAGUCUUAUCGCACUUACUGACCUUUUUGUUUCAAUUGAUUCUCUCGAUUGAUAAGUGGCCGGUGUUUGGUCCUAAAUAGAAAUUAGGUUAAAUUAUAAACAUAAUCUUUUUCACAAAUGUAUGUUUUACAAUAAGGUAGAAUAAUUAUGUUGACAAAAUUGAAGGUUUCAAUGUACGAUAGAUUAAUUGGAAUGUAGAUGAUUCUCAGUUGUUGAGGCAUUCACUUUAUUUGGUGCGGAUGUAUAAUUGAUGGACAGUCGUUCAUGCACGUGUGUUUGUAUGAAGAUAUGUAAAGCAACCCUCUAGAUAUGAAUAGACAUAAGGUCUUUGUAAGUUGGGCUACUACUAUAUAGCGAAUUAAUUUUAUGUUGAAACCUCAGCUUUAUUCAUGAUAUCAAAGUAGGGUGUUUCAUGUGUGAAGCCCAACGGCUACACGUGCUUCACAUCACUCAUUUUAUUUUGUCCAUGUGCUAAGCUUAAAAAUUCGUCACGUGAUGAGACGUGUUGGAGUAUUAAUCCUACAUCGAAAAGAAGGAAACUUGCAUUGACAAAUAAGAUACGCUAAUACCCAUAUUAUCAAUUAAUUUUAUAAAUUUUAUAGUAAAACCCAAACAUUUUUCAUAAUUUUCUUUGGAGUUAACUAAAGCCAGAAGUUUGUGGUGUUGUUAACUCACUACCUAGGAGUGGACAUUUUAACCGGUAAAUCGGGUCGAGAAAACCAAAAGAAUCGGGUUUGACAUUGUCACAUUCUUGUUGCAUUUUUUCCCAAAUACCGAAUGUAAUGUGCCAUUCUUGUUACGGACAAGGAUUGUCUGCCCUCCUAGUUGUGGUGCCCUUCUAUGCCCUCCUAUUUUGUGCGGUCACGGUUAAGCCACGUCAACAUUUUAUAUUAAUUUUUUAAUGAGAUAAUAAGACAAAAAACAAUAAAAAUAUAAAAUAUUAACGUGGCUUAACCGUGACCGCACAAAAUAGGAGGGCAUGGAAGGGCACCACAACUAGGAGGGCACCUUGUCCUUCUUGUUACAAAAGCCUCUUUAUUCUUAUCCAAUAGAAGUAGUACGUAGUCUUAUCUCACCUAAUGGUCUUUUCUGUCAAUUGAUUCUCUCAGUUUAUAUAUAAGCUUUGUUUGUUUCAAAAUACAAAUUAGCUAAAUCAUAAACGUAAUGUGUUUCUGUUUGGAUCUUACUGUACACCAUUGAUCUGUUUAAUUGAGGCUGUUGAAUUUUAAUAUUUUUCUUAAAUAUUACUAUUGCUGAUUCGAAUUCAAUAGAGAAAACCAGGCAUUAUCCAUUGCUGGUUGUUUGUUGGAGAUCCAUUUGUUGAUAAAGACUUACUCAAGUGAUGGCAAGGAUUUUCCAACUUGGCUUGAGUAAAGAAAAGAUAAAAGAAGGUACCAUCCAUUUGUGAUAUUAUCCCUUUGGCCAAUUUGAUAAUUUAUUCUUUUUGGCCAAUUUGAUAGUAUUUCCUAAUAGAAUGCUCAGUGUUCAUUAAGAUAAAGAUGGCCAUCAAAAGGCCUUUGGUAGCCACGGUAUGGACUUUACAACACGUUCAAGCGUAUUAGUCCUAUAAAUACAUAAAACCGUGUAAUGAGAAGGCAACCUUCAACUUAACAUACAAAUAUGCCUUGCACAAAUCUCGCUCUAGGCGAACACUUCUCACACUCAGAGAACUAACUAACUCACAUUUUGAGAAAUCACUAACUCUCCACUUUCCUAACUACUUAAAGCUCGAUUGAUUAUCUAUCCAAGUCUCAGCUGACGAGGAGUCCUUGAUUCUUUAAUUGAACGAGGUCACUUUACUAGCUUUCCAACCAAAUUAAGUGUUUUAUGCUUGGUUACUUCUGGUACAUUUUAGAGUUCGGUAUUCUGACGGUUGAACAACAUUUACCAUCAAGACAUUUAUCUCUUUCGAGUACGAGUAUCCUUACAGUUUAACUCCGAACUGAUCAGAGCACUUAUAUUUUCACAAAUAUAGUCGAGGCGGCCGAACCUGGUGCAAAAGAUCAUGAACUUCACAGUGACUAACAACCUUUUUGACAUCACCACCACAUUCAUUCUACUAACCGACCGAGUUCGAUGGCAAGUUAGCACGACCGCAUUCAUCAUAAUGACGUAGUUAGCUUUUUGUUAUUCAGUCUACGUGUAAGUAAACUUGAUAGUUUUUAAGGUCAACAAUUUCACAAAUUGUGCUUUACAUUCUAACAAGUUUUACGAUCUCAACUUAUACUAGACGAAGGCGGACGAUCGAUUGUUAGUUGUUGCUGCGAGUUUCAUUGUGAUUGCGGAUGUAUAAUUGACAUACAAUCGUAACGUGUGUUUGUGGGCAAAGCAACUCUCUAGACAUCAAAAGAUAAGGUCUUUAGUUUUAUUCAGAAUUUGAGGUGUCUAUAUAAGUCACAAAAACCAAGAAACCUCUCGAACUCGUACCUUGGAUGCAGUGGAUGGGUUCCUAUCACAUGGUUGUCGCCAAAGGCAACAGAAGAGUACUCGCUAUAAUACUAAAUUAACAUGGUCCACUAGACGGUGGCUUUCCACCCUUUUUGUCGAUCGUGAGAGUAUGAUUUGGCCAAAUGCACUGUUAUUCUCCCAAAGUCGAGGUCAAUUUAGUAAACUAAUAUAUAGAAGUUUUUAAAAGUCACUAGUCUAGUAGCGGGUAGAGGCCUGUCGCUUAGGGGGGCCUAGGUAAUUUUUUAUUUUUAAUUAAUUUUUUAUAUAAUAUAUAGAUAAAUAUCUACUUAUAUUUUUUUUAAAAUAUAACUGUAUUGAGAUACAUUAAUUAGAAAAUGGAACUAUAUAUAAAUUAUAAAGUAUUAGAAUUGAAAACAUGGGGAAUAAACAUAUAAUGAGUGUUCAUCUCAAUAUUUAACAAGUUUUUUACAAUUUAUUGAAAAAAUAAAAUGUAAAAUGAAAGUUAUCUAUUUUCUAUCUAAAUGAGAGUUACGAUCUAGACGAGCGCCUACGCAGAUCUAGACGCUCUUUCUUAGUUUUCAAACGUCUAGUGAUCAAUCAAAGCGAUGACUACCUGCUUAGCGCCUAGGCAGGCUUAAGCGAAGCUAGGCGGUAAUUUUUAAAAGAAUGUGAUAUAUAGUUAGUAAUGAUAGCUACAAGGAAGAAAGAAACAACCCCACUGUACGAAACCAAAAACACUAAGCUACGAUGUGUUCUUAUCAUCUUAAGUUGUCCUACGAAUAAGUUAUGAAACCUAAUAUUAUGUUGUUGACCUAACCAAGUAGCUAGUAGCUAGUAUCGUUCACAUCAUCACUCCUAAAGUAACUUGAGGUAAAUUAGUUGCAAGAUAGCUAGAAUACAGAUCCGUCAAGGGACAUUUUUGUAAGACACAUUUUUAUUGAAAGCGCUACAAAUUUUUAUCGAAAAUUCAAGUACAUCUUGUUGGAGCAUAACGUGGUAUUGUUUGCAUACAUCAUGUAAAACUUUUACAUGUUAGGAUUUAACAAAGCAAGUAUUUUACGUUUUCAUCUCUCACACUUCAUUGUGAUCGAAACUCAAAAGAAAGAUGAUAAUAAGGUCAACUAGUACCCUAAUGAAUAUGAUUUUUAAUUUUCCGUGUAUUGCAUUACGGUUAAAAUGCAAGAUUUUUCCAAUAUUAAACUAUCAUAAGUAGUGUGUGAUGUCAGAGAUAUUACGAGACGAAGAACUUGCUGGUUCUAGUAUGAAAAUUGUUUUUGAAAUUUUGAUUUAAAAUGAUUCAGUCUUCAUAGGUGUCGGCGGGUUGGAUUGGUUUUUAGCUUAAAAGACCAUUUCUGUCCAUUAAUGUUGGUAGUCAGUUGAAUCAAUUAUUUUUUCUACGUGUUUAAUCUUAAACAAAAUUAAAAAAACGGUUUGUUUGGGGAAGGCUGUUAUUUAUUUUUAUUAAUUUUGAAAAAGUCGCGGUAAAAUCCCGGACAACUGUCAGCAGCUGGAGUCACUGUCAGUCGCGCUUGCACGCCGCCGUAGCUUAUUAAACUCCGGUCACUCACUUCCGCUCGUCUUCCGCCGGAAACGCCCUUUUUUUUUUGCUCGAUCAAUAAAAAUUAAAGUUAAAAAAAAAAGAAAAGAAGAAGAACGUUUCUGAAUUACCAAUCAGCUCUUCAACUUCCAUUGGCCACAGCAGUACAGAGCACUGUGUCUCUCUACUUUCUCUCUCUACACACUCUCUCGUAUACUUUCUCUCUCUAUACAGAGAGAAACACAGCACGAGAGCUCUCUGUUGGUAUUUUUUACGGACGUACACGCGGUUGUGUAGGCGUAGAUUCCUUUGCCCCCACUGCGUCAUAUAAUUUUAUCAAUAAAUAAAUGCCAAAAAGCUCUCUCUCUCCCCGCUGAAACCGCAUUUAUACACAGAGAGAGGGCCUAUUCCUAACGUUUUCCUCAUUUUUAUGUGCUGCUUUGGUUUGCCUAUAUUCACUCCUCCUCCGGGGAUCUCAGCCGUCCUCCGCCGCUCUUGCGAGAAUUCACCGGCUCAGCUGUCACCGGCAAGUUUCUCUCUUUGCUUUGGUAUUUAUUUCUGCUGAAAUUUUAAGCUGUUUUUUGUUUGUAAAGUUGGAAACUUUGCUGUGAUGGAAUUGAUGGGUUUUGAGUAUGUUGAUUUUGUGCGGAUUUUGAGGGCAUAAGUGGGUAAUUUGUGGAUUUUGGGCAGAUGGGCAGAUGGGCAGCUGUUGUUUUAGCCCAGUGCAUACGUGGUCUACAGUGUACUGCUUUUGGAUUUCUGGGGAACCUAUAGAGAAUAAUUGCCAGAAAGAUAUGGUCUUGUAGUGUAAACUUAUUGAUUUCUGGGUGAAAUCGAAGGUUUCAUAUCUGGGUUUGUUUUAAUUCGUUGAAUUGGGGAUUUAUAUCUCGUGGAAUUGGACUAUUGGCGUUAUAAAAUUCUGGAGUUUUUGUGGAAUUUGGAUUUAUGGAGGCUUUUGGAGGCAGAGCUCGGAAUUUCUAUGGUACGAUGGUGCCGGAUUUGAAGGGGGCUGGGAAAAAGAGUUUGGAAUGGGAUUUGAAUGAUUGGAAAUGGGAUGGUGAUCUUUUUACCGCUAGUCCUUUGAAUGCUGUACCAUCUGAUUGUAGGAGCAGGCAGUUGUUUCCGCUUGGGCUGCCGGAAACUCCCUCCACUGCUGGUUUGUCCAACAGUUCUUCUUCUGGUUCGGACGGUAUCUGUCCAGGGAAUGAGAAAGGUAAAAGAGAGCUGGAGAAAAGAAGAAGGGCUAGUUUUGUAGAAAAUGAAGGGCUAACUGAUGAAGUUGGGUCUCUUAAUCUCAAGCUUGGCGGGCAAGCUUACCCAAUCAUGGAAGGAGAGGUACAACAUGGGAAGAAGACGAAGAUAGUUGGGACUACUUUAAACCGAGCAGUUUGUCAGGUGGAGGACUGUAAGGCUGAUCUUAGCAAUGCCAAGGAUUACCACCGACGACAUAAGGUCUGUGAUAUGCAUUCUAAGGCAACUAAAGCGGUGGUGGGAAAUGUUUUGCAGCGGUUCUGUCAGCAGUGUAGCAGGUUAGUUCAAUUCUAUGGUUGUCCUUGUAUGGUGAGAAAUAUUUCAAAUUUUCUUCAGUUAAGUUCUACGUCGUUUAUUCGGUGCUUUCUUAUAGACAUUGUUUCUAGAAGAUGAAAUACAGAGUUUGAUUUGUAAGUUUUAAAAAAAUUAUUUGUUGCUCUCAUGAUUUGGGUCCAUAGUUGUUCAUCACUGUGUUUGGUAUAGUCGAAUUUUGAAGAACUUUUUUGUUGAAUUUGGAAUGUGGUUAUACUUAUGGGCAGGUUUCAUGGCCUUCAAGAGUUUGAUGAAGGAAAGAGAAGUUGUCGUAGACGUUUGGCAGGCCACAAUAGGAGGAGAAGAAAAACACAUCCUGAUACUGUAGUUAAUGGAGGCUCAUUGAAUGAUGAAAGAGGAAGCAGUUAUCUAUUGAUUAGUUUGCUGAGAAUACUCUCCAACAUGCACUGUAAAUCUUUGUGUUAUUGCACAUUCAAUUUUUGGCUGCUUUGCCUGACAUUAAAUUGAUAUGCUAAGUGUAUGUUAAGUGGUUACCGGAUUGUGUGUUGAUUGCCAUAGACUGAUGUCAAAGUUCUUGUGGUCUUUUGCUCUUAGGUUUUGUCAUUAUUUGAUUGAGGCUUGUAGCAAAAUGAUUAUGUCAAUUAACAUUUAAUAACUCCACUCAUAAAUUUUUAUUUGUAAACAUACAACAUAUUACUUGAUGAGUCCUUAACUGCUUAAGGUGCUCUAUUUUUGUGUAUAAAUGACAAAGUGCUAGUUUCUCUGAAUUUAAUUUGAUGAAAAUUUGAAUAUUGAUGCUUACGCAUGAAAAGUUUUCAGUUUUUCAGAGGUUGAUUUGAUAGAAAGUUAGAAUUUUGUGCAGACCUUCAUGUCGAAAAAUAUUUCAAUUUUUAUAAUCCAGAUUACACCUUGUGUGCUUGAAUUUCAUCCCUUGAACCCUUGUUUUUUGCACUUUCUUUCUCUGAUUGUUGGACUGUCCAUAUUUCACAUUCUAGGAUGCAUGAAGGAAGGGCCUAUUAAAGGGAAUUCUAAUUAGGAAUUGUUAUUUAGGAAAUUAUGUCUCAGUGAUCAUGUUAUUAUAAUAUUUAUUUGAUUAUGUUUGUGUUUGUUUUUCUUCUCAUAAGUGUCUUACUCAACUCCACUUUUGAUGCCUAAAAUGCAGCUAAUAGUUCAGAUCAAACAAAGGAUCAGGAUUUGCUAUCUCAUCUUUUGAAGAAUCUAGCCAAUCUUUCUGGUACAGUUGAUGGAAGAAACAUGUCUGCAUUGCUUACGGCAUCUCAAGGUUUAAUAAAUGGCGGGGCAUCAAUUCAGACUGCACAAAAGGUCCCAGAUACAGUUUCCAACGGCUGUGAACCAAGUAAGCCUUCUGUUUCAGCCUCUAAAAUGGAUGAUUAUAUUAAUGGUGAGGACCCUUCAAGACCUAUACGACAGUGUUCUACGGUACCUGCAUCAGAUUUCAGGAGAAUAUCUUCAGUUGAUGCAGAUCAUGGAGGUCUACAAGUUGUUUCAGGUCUAAAUGCCACGAAGCCAUUUCCUUCAAGAGACAGUGUUCCAUCCACAUCAGUUGCACCAGAAGCUACAAUGGGGAGGAUGCAGUUAAAUGGCAUUGAUUUAAAUAAUACAUAUGACGAUUCCCAGGACUAUUUGGACAACCUAGGGAAUUCGCAUGCCCCUGUAAAUUCAGGGACAGUGGCUCAUGGUUUUCCCUUUUGGAUGCGUCAGGAUUCGCAAAAGUCUAGCCCACCUCAGACAAGUGGGACUUCAUGCUCAACUUCAUCAAGUUCUAGUGGAGAUGCUCAGGUAUAUUCUUGUUGUACUUGCAUCUCGUUCCUCGUUAUUGCUUGGUAUAUUAAUGCUUGUAUAUGCCAUAACCUGUCCUUUUCUGUUGGAUAAAAGAAUAGCUUUGUUCUCACUUUAAUUUGGCAUUUAGGUGACAAUGCUUUGCAUUCGACUUGUCCGUUUGUCUAGCCAAUUGAUUGAAAAAACAUGAAGUACUCGGCAUACCUAAUAAAUACUUCUGUUGUGACGUAAGAGUCAAGAUGGAUUCUCUUCUUUUGUAUAGUGCUUUGUAUGUAUAAAUGUGUGCGUAUGCUUCUGCUUGAUAAGGUUUAUAGAGUUGUAGUUAAACUACAGGAGGUUGCAGGCUAUAUCAGUUAGAGUUGAGUAUUUUUUAAAUAUUUUUUAUUAUGAAGGCCAGUGUGUAAAAUGUUACUGCACUGUUACGUCUCUUAACCACUCUUUUUCUGCCGUGUUUCAGAGUCGCACAGACCGUAUUGUUUUUAAACUCUUUGGAAAAGAUCCAAAUGAUCUUCCAUUUGUUCUACGAGCACAGGUAAUAUUUGGUGCCUUGAUUUAAUUCUUCACAAUGUAACUUGUGUUUCCUUGCACAUACAACAAUUUUAUGAAAUAUUUUGAAUAUCCAGAUUCUCAACUGGUUGUCCCACAGUCCUACUGACAUUGAAAGCUACAUAAGGCCGGGAUGUAUCAUUUUGACAGUUUACCUCCGUCUAGAAAAAUCCACGUGGGAGGAGGUAUGUUUCUGUGCUGAUGCCAAAAUGUUGAUUGCUGACCUUGUAUCAGGGAGAUCUCUUUUCUUGUCCUUAAUUGUUAUGUUUGCCUGCAGCUCUGCUGUAAUCUGGGAUCCAUUAUAAAACAACUUUUACAUGCUGCCAAUGAUCCUUUUUGGACAACAGGAUGGGUGUAUACUAGGGUGCAACAUUCUGUAGCAUUUACGUACAAUGGUUUGUUCUCUCUCUCUCUCUCUCUCUCUCUCUCUCUCUCUCUCUCUCUCUCUCUCUCUCUCUCUUAAUUAUUCAUUCAUAUAUUUUCUAGCUCAUUUAGUGAUUUACCAAUAGUUGUGUUAUGAAAGAAAAGACAUUUUAAAUAGUUAUGUCUGUACUGCAGGUCAAGUUGUCUUAGACACACCCUUACCUCUGAAAAGCCAUAAAAAUUGCAAGAUAUCAUGCAUCAAACCAAUUGCAGUUUCUUUAUCCGAAAGAGCUGAAUUUGUAGUAAAGGGGUUUAAUCUUUCUCGUGCCACCACAAGGUAUCCUUAUCUUUCAUUCAAGCUUCAUUAUGUAGACCACUCCAGUGUCAUAUGUUAUUUCUGAAUUAGUAACUAUCAGGAUAACUGGGAAGGAGGAAAGUACUAAGUCCUAGCUUGUGACAGGUUGCUCUGUGCUCUGGAAGGGAAGUAUCUAGUCCAAGAAACUUGUUAUGACUUGAUGGAUGGUGCUGAUACAACCUUUGCGAAUGAUCAGCUACAGUGCCUCAGAUUCUCCUGCUCUAUACCCAAUGUUACUGGCCGAGGACUCAUUGAGGUGCUGUUCCAUUCUUAAUAUAUGUUUUAUAUUUCCUUUGAAGUGUGCUUAUCAUUACUUAUUUAUUUAUUUUUAUUUCAGGUUGAAGACCAUGGUCUCAGCGGCUGCUUCUUUCCAUUUAUAGUUGCCGAGCAGGAAGUAUGUUCAGAGAUUUGUACCCUGGAGGGUGCGAUUGAGGUGGCUGAGACUGCAGAUAACAUCCAGACAGAACCUGAAAAGUUGGAAGCCAAGAACCAAGCGUUGGACUUUGUACAUGAAUUGGGUUGGCUCCUUCACAGAUGUCACACUAAAUUUAGACUUGGUCACGGGGAUCCCAACUUAGAACUAUUUUCUUUUAGACGGUUCAGGUUGCUUAUGGAGUUUUCCAUGGACCGUGAUUGGUGUGCUGUAGUGAAGAAACUCCUGGGCAUUCUGCUUGAGGGUACCGUUGACACUGGAGAACAUCCUUCUAUUGAGCUUGCGUUAUUGGAUAUGAGCCUCCUCCACGGAGCCGUGCAAAGAAAGUGCAGGCCUAUGGUGGAACUCUUGUUAAGAUUUGUCCUAGACAAAGGGUGGCAACAAGUUGACGGGGACGGCAGCAACUUCUUAUUUAAACCCGAUGCAGUUGGGCCCAUGGGAUUGACUCCUCUUCAUGUUGCAGCCAGUACUGAUGGAUGUGAGAAUAUAUUGGAUGCCUUAACUGAUGAUCCUGGAAAGGUAAUUUCUCAUUGUCUUCUUUGACAGUUUUCUUUCUAAUUGGAUGUAAAAAUCAGAACAGGUCUGCAUCAUUAUCCAUUUUUCUCCGUACGUGUUUGACCGUUUGCUCAUACAAAUGACUCAUGUCAGCUCAUUCUGUGUCUCACAUGAAUGUUGAUAUUUCAAAUCGUUGUAUUUUCAAGCAUACAAAUGUUGAUAUCUUUGCUUCUUUAGGUGGGAAUUGAAGCGUGGAAAAAUGCUCGAGACAGUACAGGAUUGACACCAAAUGAUUAUGCAUGCCUGCGAGGCCGCUACACCUAUGUCCAAAUUGUCCAGCGGAAAAUCAACAAGAAACAUGAAAGCGGGCACGUGGUGCUUGAUAUCCCUGGCGUUAUCUUAGACAGCAGCAGCAAGCAGAAACAAUUAGAUGGGCAUAAGUCCUCAAAAGUCUCCAUCUUGGAGACCGAAAGGAUCGAUAUGAAAGCAAUGCAGGCACAUUGCAAGCAAUGUGAAAUGAAACUAGCAUAUGGAAACACAAGGUCGUUUGUGUACAGGCCGGCAAUGCUGUCAAUGGUAGCCAUUGCUGCUGUCUGUGUUUGCGUGGCCUUGCUCUUCAAAAGCUCGCCUGAAGUCCUUUAUGUCUUCCAGCCCUUCAGGUGGGAACUCUUGGAGUAUGGACCGAGCUAAGGCAGUUUACGCGUCUCAAAUUUUAGUUACUCUGGCUUUAGGCCGUUUGUGUUAAUCAUAUGUAUAAACGGAUAACUCAAAUUUUAGUUACUCUGGCUUUAGGCUGUUUCUGUUGAUCAUAUGUAUAAACCGAUAACUCUAUAGGGAACAUAAUGUACCAGUUUUCGUAUCCGUUAAGAUUUCCACGAGAGGUGUUGCACUGUAUGUAUUAAUGAUAGUUCAUAUAAAGCGUGUAUAGGGAAAGAUUGACGUAAAUAGUACUAUUGACCAAUUGUUGAGGCAAUAGAUUGCUGCAUUACUUCCAAAAACACAUACAAACAUUGUAUUCGAUGAGGCGGAAGAUUCGGACUUGAAAAUUCUUUCGCUUUUAAGUCAGCUUUCUUAAACAGAAGACAAUAUUUAGUAGGGCGGCCUGACUAAUAAUUUCUUUCGCUUUUAAGUCAGCUUUCUUAAACAGAAGACAAUAUUUAGUAGGGCAGCCUGACUAAUAAGUAGGUUAGACUACUCUUGCUAAAUUUUAUGCAUUGAGAGUUGUAUUUACGUAAGACUGGAUGGUGACCAAAUACAUAGAAUCACGUUCCUUCAUGAGGGGAUAAGGCUGUCUCACAAAGGUUGGAGCUUUGUGCUUACUUAGAUACAUGAAUCUCGUUCUUUCGUGAGUCAACUUUUCAGGUUAUUCAACUCAAAUGUUAUGAAUAAAAUUGGGCCAAAAUUAGAUCAAACAGUUGUUUUUCUCCAAAUAUUUUUAAUUUGGUCAAAUGCAUGAAUCUCGUUCUUUAGUGAGAUAACUUUUCAUGUUAUUCAACUCAAACGUUAUGAAUAAAAUUGGACCAAAAUUAGAUCAAACAGUUGUUUUUCUCUAAAUAUUUUUAAUUUGGUCAAAUCCAAUCCGAGUCUAAUAUUAACUAGCAAAAAAAAAAGCAGAAAAAUGGAUUUUACAGGCUAAUAAAAUAAUAGGAAAAGGACUCCAGUCACAGAGACACGUUGACUCAUAUUUUGACAUGAAAUUGUUUUCCACUUCAACAAGUCAUAUUCAUGGUCCUUACAUAGUGUACACAAUUAUUACCUUGUUUAAUCUUUUUCAAUUAUUUUGUCGUUUUGAACCUUUUUUCUUUGGUUUAAUUGCCAAUAAUUCAAGCAUUAAAUCUUGAUCUCGAAAUGGAACAAUUUUCCGGUGUACUAAGAUCACGUUCACGUAAAAUUACUGGUUCAUUUAAAUUAUAUUACGUAGAUUUGUUAAUAUUAAGUUUAGGUUAAAUCUCACAAUAAUUAGUAAUAAUAUGACGAGAAUUAAACUUGAAAUAUAUCACUUAUAAUAAAAUAAAAUAUCAUUAGUUUAAAUAUUAAAAUGAUACACCUCGUAACUUGUAACGCUGUUAAUUUCUAAUCGAAAUCAAAAGGAGACGCGUCAUUUGAGGCCACCACCUCUCUCCUCUCACUCUCCCCACUGAAACCGAAUUUACACAGUAAGAGAACCCUUUUCCUAACCUUUUCCUAAUUUUCAUGUGCUGAUUAGCUUUGUCUCGGGGCCUAUAUUCUCUCUGCCUCAACUGCGAUCUCAGCCACUUCUUCGUCAGCUCUCAGUUCUCAGCUCAUCUCCCAACAAUUCACCAACCUGCCGGCAAGUUUCUCUCUCUUUACUCUCUCGCUCUCCUCUUUAUUUCCACAAAAAAAGAUUGGGUCUUUCAGUUCUUUCAGCUCAAGUUUCUUUCCAUGGAGUUGAAAGCAUUGACUAGGAUGUAAUUGUGGGCUUGCAAAUACGGUAUUUUGUACUGACUUGUUGAGAGAAAAACUGGGUAAUUGGUGGAUUUUGGGUUCUGGGCAGCUGUAGCCUGUAGUUUAGCUCCAUUUUUAUGCUGGUGUGCUGUUCUUGGUUUUCUGGGGUUCUUGGAAAGAACAAUUUCCAGAAAUUUCUGGGGCUGUGGUGUUAUUGACUUUUUGUUUUGGGGUGAAAUUUAUAGUUUUAUCUCUGAGCUGUAGUUGUUGUUAUUGUUCAAUUGGGUGUUUGUAUCUGGUGGAGUUUGACUAGGGGGCAUUGUAACAUCUCUGGGUUUUUUGUAUCUUGAUCUAUGGAGUCUGAAUUCGGAGGAAAGGCUUGUAAUUUUCGUGGUGUGAUGGUGCCGAAUUUGAAGGGGGUUGGGAAAAAGAGUUUGGAAUGGGAUUUGAAUGAUUUUAAAUGGGAUGGUGAUCUUUUUACUGCUAGUCCAUUAAAUUCUACACCAUCUGAUGGUAGGAGUAGGCAGUUGUUUCCGGCCAGGCCAGAAACUCCGUCGGAUGCUGGUUUGUCCAACAGUUCUUCUUCUGGUUCGGAUAAUAUCAGUCCGGGGAAUGAGAAAGAUCAAAGAGAAUUGGAGAAACGGAGAAGGGAUUUUUUUGUGGAAAACCGAGAGUUGAAUGAUGAAGCUGCGUCUCUGAAUCUUAAACUUGGCGGGCAAACUUACCCCAUUAUGGAAGAAGAAGUACAAACCGGGAAGAAAACAAAGACAAUUGGGACUACUUCAAACCGUGCAGUUUGUCAGGUGGAGGACUGUAAGGCUGAUCUUAGCAAUGCCAAGGAUUAUCACCGGAGGCAUAAGGUCUGUGCUAUGCAUUCUAAGGCAACUAAAGCGCUGGUUGGAAGUGUUAUGCAGCGGUUCUGUCAACAGUGUAGCAGGUUGGUUCCAUCCUAUUGUUAUUUAUUGUUUGGUUGAAACAUUUCCCCGAUUUUCUUGAAUUAACUUGAAAUACAGAGUUUGGUUGUGUAAAUUUUGUUGUCAUGCGUUUGUUGUGCAUGGCUGUUCAUCAAUCUUCUUACGGUAUGGUUGAGUUCUGCAGAAGGUUUUUUUUGUUGAAUUAAAUGUAACAGGGUUAACACUCGUGGACAGGUUUCAUGCUCUUCAAGAGUUUGAUGAAGGGAAGAGAAGUUGCCGUAGGCGUUUGGCUGGCCAUAAUAGGAGGAGAAGAAAAACACAUCCUGAUACUGCAGUUAAUGGAGGCUCUUUAAACAAUGAAGGCGGAAGCGGUUAUCUAUUGAUUAGCUUGCUGAGAAUACUUUCAAAUAUGCACUGUAAGUACUUGCCUUAUUCAUUGUACACUUCUGUCUUAGUGAAACAUUGUAUCUCAGAUUUAUUUGAAUCCGCAUAUUAUGCCAUUUAUAAAUUGCAGCUAGUAGUUCUGAUCAAACAAAGGAUCAGGAUGUCAUAUCUCAUUUGUUGAGGAGCUUAGCCAAUGUUGCUGGUACGGCUGAUGGAAGAAACAUAUCUACAUUGCUGCAGGGAUCUCAAGGUUUAUUUAACAGUGGGACAUCUGUCCAGACUGCACGAAGGGUUCUAGAUAUGAAUGCUGGUGUUAAUACUGAGGACCCUUUAAGGUCUAAAGGACACUGUUCGAUACUACCUGCAUCAAGAGACAGUUCUGAAUCCAAAUCAGUUACACCGGAAGCUACAAGUAGAAGGUUCCAGUUAAAUGAUUGAUUUAAAUAGUACAUAUGAUGAUUCACAGGACUAUGUAGAGAACCUAGGGAAUUCUCAUGUUCCUGCAAGUCCAGGCACUGCAUCUCUUGGUUUUCCUUCAUGGAUGCAGCGUGAUUCUCAUAAAUCAAGCCCACCUCAGACAAGUGGGAAUUCAGACUUAACUUCUACUCAGUCACCGUCAAGUUCUAGUGGAGAAGCUCAGGUAUAUCCUUGUAAUUGCAUCUAUUCCAUAAUUGCUUGGUAAUAUAAUGCUUAAAAAUGCCUUUGUCGUGGAUGAUGCUCAGCCCACUGUAAUUCGUCUUUUUUUUAAUCUUUUUUUCCAUGAGACCAGGGAUUAAUAUAUCAAUUGUCAUUAAUCAUUAUACGGCGUAUAACUUGUCUUUUGUUUGGAUAGUAGAAUACCUUUGUUCUAUCCUUGAGAGUAGUUAGGCAGUCAUGUAUUGUGUUCUGAACGUGUCUGUGUAUCUUUCCAUGGAUUGUCAAAAUAAUGGCGAGGUUAAGUGCGCUCGCUGCUUGGUUAUGGGAUAUAUGUAAGAAAUGCUUCAAUUGUGACUUAAAGUUGAGAUCAGUUAUCUCUUCCUUCAAACCAAUAUGGCAGUUUACAAGCGCAACCACACACACAAACAUACUUGUUGUGUAUACGUCUUCUUGAUGCUGUUAAUAGAAUUGAGGUUAAAGUUACCUGGUGGUUUCUGCAGUCCUAAUGGAACAUGCAUUAUUUAUGUAAAAGGCCAGUAUGUAGAAUGUAUCUGCAAUUUUACGUUUCUUGACUGCUCUUUUUCUGCCACAUAUCAGAGUCACACAGACCGAAUUAUUUUUAAACUAUUUGGAAAAGACCCUAAUGAACUUCCACUUGCUCUGCGAUCACAGGUACUAUAUUUCCUUUGAUUUUUCUAGUUUUCAAAGUACUUUUCAAAGUAUUUUGGUGUUUCAUUCCACGGACUCCAUGAUUUUUAUAAAUUAUUUGAAUAUCCAGAUCCUCGACUGGUUAUCUCACAGCCCUACCAACAUUGAAAGCUACAUAAGGCCGGGCUGUAUCAUUUUGACAAUUUACCUUCGUCUAGAAAAAUCCACGUGGGAGGAGGUAUUCUCGACUGUGGAUGGCAGAUCCUUGUAUGAGGAAGACUUUUUCUUCAAGUCCUUAAUUUUGACAAUUCACCUCUCCCAGACCCUGAUUAAAGCGGGAGCCUUGUGCACUGGGUACGACCUUUUUUUUUAUAAUUAUUUUUGCUUACAGUUCUGUUGUCAUCUGGGAUCCAGUUUGAAAACACUUCUUGAUGCUGCGGAUGAUCCUUUUUGGAGAACAGGAUGGGUGUAUACAAGGGUGCAAGAUUAUGUAGCAUUUACAUACAAUGGUUUGCCUCUCUCUCUCUCUCUCUCUCUCUCUCUCUCUCUCUCCCCCUCUCAUUUCGUGUGUGCGUACACAUUUGUGUAUUUAGGGUCUAUAGAAGAAUCUUGCUGUUUUAGUUUUCCAUUAUGCUUUAUUGAUUUUGGUCAUGCUUUGUUUUGUUAUUUCUAGUACAUAAUGAGGAUUGACCAAAAACAUUAACCUUAUAUGAGAGAAGCAUUUUGAUUAGUUAUGUCCAUCCUGCAGGUGAAGUUGUGUUAGACACACCCUUGCCUCUUAAAAGCAAUAAAAGUUGCAGGAUAUCAUGCAUCAAACCAAUUGCGAUCUCCUUAUCUGAGAGAGCUGAAUUUAUAGUAAAAGGCUUUAACCUUUCUAGUUCCACCACAAGGUUCUUUCAUCUUUCAUUCAUGCGUCAUUACUUUGUUUUCAAUAUUCCUCUCUAGUUUUAUAGGAUAACAGAAGAAAUACUAAAUUCUAGAUCUUGAGUCUUGACAGGUUACUCUGUGCUCUAGAAGGGAAGUAUCUGGCUCAAGAAACUUGUUAUGACUUGUUGGAUGAUGCGGAUAGCACUGUUGAGGAUGACGAACAACAAUGCCUUAAAUUCUCCUGCUCUAUACCAAAUGUUACUGGGCGAGGAUUCAUUGAGGUGCUGUCAUAUUCCUAAUUGUCCCUUUCCCCCUUCCUCCUCUUGUAAUGUGCAUUUUGAACGAGCCGUAUUUUAUAAGUCCGGAAUUUGUUUAUAAAUCUUCUUAUGAAUACUGAGUAUAGAUUUGUUUCUAGACAGCGCCUUAACUGAAAUCCACGGUUCUCAUUUUAUUGGUCAAAUUUAUGUCAGGUUGAAGAUCAUGGUCUCAGCAGUAGCUUCUUUCCAUUUAUAGUUGCAGAGCAGGAAGUAUGCUCUGAGAUUUGUAUGCUGGAAGAUGUGAUUGAGGUGUCCGAGACUGAUGAUGAUAUCCAAUCUGGACCUGAAAAAGUGGAAGCUAAGAACCAAGCCUUGGACUUUAUACAUGAAUUGGGUUGGCUCCUACAUAGAAGUCGCGUUAAGUUUAGACUGGGUCAAUUGGAUCCCAAUCUAGAUACAUUUCCCUUUAGACGGUUCAGAUUGCUCAUGGAGUUCUCCAUUGACCAUGAUUGGUGUGCUGUGGUGAAGAAACUCUUGGGCAUUCUGUUUGAUGGUACUGUCGACGCUGCAGAGCAUCCUUCCCUUGAGUCUGCACUACUGGAUAUGGGCCUCCUCCACAGAGCUGUGCGAAUCAAUAGCAGACGUAUGGUGGAAUUCUUGUUAAGAUUUGUCCCAGGUUUAACAGGAUCUGAGCAGAAGGAACAAGUUGACAGGGACGGCAACAGUUUCUUGUUUAAACCUGAUGUUGUUGGGCCCAUGGGGUUGACUCCUCUUCAUAUUGCCGCCAGUACUGAUGGCUGUGAGCAAGUAUUGGAUGCCUUAACUGAUGAUCCUGGAAAGGUAAUAUCUCCGUUUUUUGAAUUGCAACAUAAUAUUUUUCUUCUAAUUCUAUGUAGAAAUCACUUUGCGCUGGCUACAACCUCCAUCCCAUCUCCAUACCCAUUUGAACUCUUGCGCCUACAGUUGACCUGUGUCUGUUCUCAUACUGUUUCACACACGUGUUUUGAUGAUUUUAACUCAUUCUAAUUUCCAGCAUGUCAGGUUGCUCACGGAUUUUAGAUCUGUAAUCAUGUCUUCUUUGACUUUGAGCUCUCUCUUUAGCUUUUCCACUGUCUUCUGCCUAAACAAAAUACACUGAUUCCAGUUAUUGAGUUGUAUUUCAAAUUCUCAAUUAACCAAUCCUAGACAAAUUAUGCAGUCUUGUAUUUUCUUUGGCUUGCGAAACAUAUGAAACAUAAAUCACCGUAGAAAAGUUAAAUGCGCCAUUCAAAUUGGUAAAGAAAGCAGCACCCCACAUCUAAAUGCAUGCUAACUCUUUCACAGCUGAAAGCGGCACCCAAAUUCUACAUUCAACUUGAAAUCAAAUAGGACUGCUGUUAAAAUUUUUGACGAUAAAUGAAUUAUGAUUCUUUUCAUCGUUCUAGUUUCAACUUUCAAGCAUGUGUUUAGGACUGCUGUCAUGAAAUUUCUUUAGUGUCAGAUAAUCCAUUCAUCAAGUUGAUAUGGGCGUUUUUUUCUUUAGGUGGGAAUUAAAGCAUGGAAAAACACUCGAGACAGCACAGGAUUGACACCAUAUGAUUAUGCAUGCCUUCGAAGCCGCUACUCCUAUGUCCAUAUAGUCCAGCGGAAAAUCAGCAAUACACUGGAAAGCGGGCAUGUGGUGCUUGACAUCCCUGGCCUCACGUUAGACAGAAAUGGAAAGCAGAAGCAAUCGGAUGCGCAUAAAUCAUCAAGAGUAGCCAGCUUGGAAACUGAAAGGAAUGAUAUAAAAGCAAUCUUACGACACUGCAGGUUAUGUGAACAGAAACCAGCUUAUAGCACCACACGGUCACUUGUAUACAGGCCGGCAAUGCUGUCAUUGGUGGCUGUCGCUGCUGUCUGCGUUUGCGUGGCCUUGCUCUUUAAAAGCAAUCCGGAAGUUGUUUUCGUGUUGGAGCCAUUCCGGUGGGAACACUUGAAGUUUGGUUCAAGCUAAGGUUAUAGUUUACGUGUAUUAAUUUAUAGUGACUCUGGUUAUACAUAGACCAUUUCUUUUCACGUGGAUAGGAGUAUAUUUUCUAUCUGAUUUUUAUAUGUAUAUCUAGGGCCACUCAAGCCAACAAGACUCUUCGCAUUGCAAUGGUCGGAACGUCUAUCGUAUCUGUAUUUGUAUACCUAAGCUUCCAAAAUAAACAUGGGCUGUCAUGGAUUUUGGUCCACCAGGUUUGAUUGUAUUUGUAUUUGUAUAACAGUGUUACAAACUGGAUGACACAUAAUUUCUCUGUUUGAUAUUUCUUUUUUUUUUUUCAAAAUAAACAUUUGGCACGAGGUGAUUCGGUGUUCGAUUAUUAGUGCAUUUACUGUAUAAAUUAAAUUUUAAUUUUAGAAAAUUCAGCAUUUUUGUUGGUUAUAUUGGAGGAAAUCGAACUUUGGUCUACUCUAAUUCUAACUUAUUACCAUACCCUCCUCCAUUAUUUGAGCUCAUAUAAGCAUAAGCACACUAAACAAGGUUAAGUAUAGAAGAAUUUGGGAAUUGAGAAUUAUUGUUUGAGCAUUAUUUCAUGUUUAGUGCAAAUUGAGGUUGAAUUAUUUUCUAAUUUUAUUAGUUUAAUCAUUUGGAUGAAUUUGUUCAUGCUUCCAUAUGAAAUCAUUAUUUUAUUAAAAUAAUUUAUUAAUAGUUCGAGAAAAACUUAAAUGGAGGUGCUCACGUCAUUCAUCACGCAUUCACAUUCACAUUCGUUACACGUUUCUCAUAAAAACAUAAAACUCUUUCAAAUGAAUAGGUUUCACUGAAUUUGGAUAAUAUCCGACUUUACAUAAGUACAAGUAUCAAUGCACAUGAUUCCAACCAGUAAUUAUUAUCUUAUUUGAAUUACUUACCCCGAAUCAGACCUGAAAAAGUGUAAUUUAUUCAAAUUUUAUUUUCUGAAAUUCAAAAAAAUAAAAUAAAAUUUGAGGAUAAGAAAAUAAAGGGUAAAGAGGUCAUUUGCAUGCCCUGCCUCCUAAAAUCCACCUCACUACUCACUACCCCGUCACUGCUCUAACAAUUUUGCAGGCCAAAGCCAUCCAUGGCUUCUUCAAUCUCUCUCUCCUUCUCUUCCUCUCUCCUCCCUCAUCCUCUUCCUUUCAACAAAUACUCCACCGCCACCGCCGCCGCCUCCCAGAAAUCCCAAUACCCCAACUUUAAGCUGCUCCUCCGCGCAUUCGCCAACCCAGCUGUAAGCCGUCGCUCCACUCCAUCUCCGUCUUCCGACACCAGAAAGAGGCACUGGAAGAAAGGUGAAUACCCAGGCGUCUCGGAGACGUCGGCUCCGGCGAAUUACAGAAAAACCCCUGGUCGUUCCACUUCAUCUGAGUCUUCCGACACCAGAAAGAAGCACUGGAAGCGAGGUGAGUUCCCGGGCGUCUCGGAGACGUCGACUCCGGCGAAUCACAGAAAAACCCCUGGUCGUUCCACUUCAUCUGAGUCUUCCGACACCAGAAAGAAGCACUGGAAGCGAGGUGAGUUCCCGGGCGUCUCGGAGACGUCGACUCCGGCGACUUACAGAAAAACCUCCGCUCGUUCCGCUUCAUAUCCGUCUUCCGACAACAGAAAGAAGCACUGGAAGCAAGGGGAGUUCCCGGGGGUCUCGGAGACGUCGAUUCCGGCUAUUUAUAGAAAACCCCCUUUGAAAAAUGUGAAGAAGAAGCUGGACCGGAAGAACAAUGCCAAGGCCUGGGUCAACACCGUCACGGAGGCCCUGUCAGACGCCAUUGACAAGAAGCAGUGGCUCCAAGCUCUUGAGGUUUUUGUCUUAAUCUAAACAAAAAUUAACAAAUUUUUCAUCUUUUUUCUUAUGUGUUUUUAGUUUGGUGAAUGUAAAUUGAUGCAAAAUUUAAAAAAAUGGUAUUUUUAUGCUUACCAAUUUAGUUUCUUGAACCAUGUUCUUGAAAAAUGUGAUCUUUUUAGCUGAAUGAUUUUAGUGGAAUUAUAAUUAAUUGGGUGUUUUUGUUUGGAAAAUGUAUGAUGAAAUUGGGUACUAUUACGUUCAGGUGUUUGACAUGCUUAGGGAACAACCAUUUUAUCAACCGAAAGAAGGGACUUACAUGAAACUCAUUGGUAUGCUUGGAAGGUGCGGCCAACCCAAUCGUGCCCGCCAGCUUUUCGAUACAAUGGUUGAAGAGGGCUGUGAACCAACUCUUGACCUUUACACAGCCUUGCUCGCGGCUUAUUGCCGGAACAAUCUGAUUGACGAGGCAUUUUCUGUUCUUAACCUGAUGAAGACUCUCCCGCAAUGCCAGCCUGACGUUUUUACUUACAGUACCUUGAUAAAGGUUUGCAUUGAUCAUUUGAAGUUUGAUUUAGUUGAGUCCUUGUAUGAGGAAAUGGCUGAGCGGUUGAUAGCUCCGAAUACAGUCACCCAAAACAUAGUGUUGAGUGGAUAUGGUAAGGCCGGGAAGUAUGACCAGAUGGAAAAAGUGUUGUCCGGGAUGCUGGAGGGUACAAGUUGCAAGCCUGAUGUCUGGACAAUGAAUGUUGUCCUUAGUGUGUUUGGAAACAAGGGUCAGAUAGAUAUGAUGGAGAGAUGGUAUGAGAAAUUCCGUGAUUUUGGGAUUGAGCCGGAAACUCGCACUUUGAACAUUCUGAUUGGUGCUUACGGGAAGAAAAGGCUGUAUGAUAAGAUGUCAACUGUGAUGGAGUACAUGCGCAAGCUUCAAUUCCCAUGGACAACCGCAACUUACAACAAUGUGAUAGAGGCUUUCGCGGACGUAGGAGAUGCAAAAAACAUGGAAUACACGUUUGAACAGAUGCGUGCUGAGGGCAUGAAAGCAGACACCAAAACAUUCUGCUGCCUUAUUAAUGGGUAUGCCAAUGCAGGCCUCUUCCAUAAGGUGGUUAGCUGCGUUCAGUUGGCUGGAAAGUUUGAGAUACCUGAGAAUACCACAUUUUACAAUGCGGUGAUAGCUGCAUGUGCAAAGGCAGAGGAUUUAAUGGAGAUGGAAAGAGUUUUCAACCGGAUGAAAGAGAAGCAAUGUCAACCGGAUUCCACAACAUACUCUGUCAUGGUUGAGGCAUAUAGUAAGGAAGGUAUGAACGACAAGAUCUACUACUUGAAGCAGGAGAUUGGUACUGAUGGUAAUCAAAGUGAUCAGAUUAGUGUUGAAGAAAAUCAAAGUGAUCAGAUUAGUGCCGAAGAGAAUCAGAGUGAUCAGAUUAGUGUGGAAGACAAUCAGAGUGAUCAGAUUAGUGAUGAAGGCAAUCAAAGUGAUCAGAGUAGUUUUGAAGAUAAUCAAAGUGAUCAGGCUUUUGGAGCUGAGUCUGGCGGUGUUGUCUAGUUGAGAUCUUUGGAGGCAACAGUAUGCUCCAAAAAUCCCUAAUCUCACAGGGCAAUUCCAUUCCCCGCAGUUCUUCUAAGGCAGCAGCAAACUCUUAUUGUGAAAUUGCCGAUCGAUCAGGUAAUCAAACAUUUCCAUUCUCGGAUGGGUGUUAGCAAUGCUGCUUCCUCCAAUUUUAUGUUUCUGGUGAAGGACUGUAUGGAUUGAUCUGAUAGACUGAUAACCCGGGUGAAACUUUAUGGAAAAUGAUUGUACAUACAGAGUUGAUAAGUGUCUCUCUCCAAACUUGAUGCGAUCUCUAAACUAGCAUGCAAAAUUGUACGACGAUUUGUAAGAGUGUUUAACUGUGUUCAACAGAGGAAUUGCUUUUUGUUAUUGCCUGAAAUGUUUUGAAUGUAACUUCACGUAUAUAUUGUCUGCAGCAGCUGCUGGACAAUCAUAGAAGGUGGUCUGUAAACACGUUGUUUUUGAAAAUUAAUCGCUCUUUUCGGUACAUUUUGUGCUGCUGUUGUUCGAAUGUUUUGGCACUUGAGGCAGACAAUUGAUCUGCAAUUAUCCCAAAAUGUAAGGGUCCAGCUCAACAAAACGCAGGGGUAAUUUGAUCAAAGAUGUAAGUUUUGUUAUAUUGACUUUUGAGUAGCAUUGGUAGUGUAAUAAACAAUAUCAGUAACGUUGAAUAAUAAUAAAUUUUACUUGGAUGCCGGCGUGUGUAGUAAGAAUAUGUCCAAAGUGGUUUGGACAACGACAUGAUGGUGCGUUAACUAAUAUGAUCUUAUCACGUGAUGAGAGAUAAAGGAGAGAUGAAUGUAUUCGUGACCUGGAGGUUAUUCUACACGUAAACUUGUAAAGAUAGGCAAACAGGGUGCUUUUUGGUUGAAACGAAAUGCUGAAUUGUUUACUCUUUCUUGUGUAAGAAGAGAAGACUUGUAUCGUAAUCAGGUACUAAUUGUUGUCUUUUGGUCCCACCUUACCUCACACUAUAAAUAAUGGCAUCUAAACCCGAUUAUUCACAGAGAAGCUUUCACAAAAGCAUAAAACUCUUAUAUUUUGGUUUCACUCGCCUCAAACUAGUCUCCCUCGUUGAAAUAGCUAACCUAGUUAGGAACUGUACACAAGUUUCUCUCGUAUCGAAGAAAGUCAAAGAAGUUUUUAGCUCACAAAAGCACAUAACCCCCUAUAUAUUCCAUUUGAAUCACCAUUUACAAAAUUUGUACUAACUUUCCAGUCGAAGAUAGGAUAGUUUCGACAAGUAUUGAACGGCUAAGAUAACUUUAUUUAUUACAUGAAUGGCUAAGAUUAAAAACAAGGGCACGUAGACGAAUACAAACAUCUUCAAUGAGAGGAUCCACCAUUUCUACCAUUGGAAAUUUAAUUUCCUUACAGAAUAGGCGAAAAGUGAAGCGAAAACAAUCGGGAAAGCAAUGAGAACAAUCGCCACGAGGAAUAAACGAUCGUGAUGGAAGCCAUAGUAGUCUUGAAGGAAGGAAGCAACUGUUUUCUGCUCCCCAAAAAUCAAAAUCUCUUUGUUCAUGUCUCCAUAUUGUGAACUGAGGAGGGCAUUUAGGGACCAUGAUGUAGGACAAAUCCAAUAGAACCAAAUCCACCACUUGGGAAUUUUCUGCAUAAAAUAUAUAGAACAUGGUCCGCUAGGCUCACAGUAAACCGUCAUAUUAAGGGUUUAUUUGGCACUGCUUCUUUAGAAAGAACUUUUGCUUAUAAAUUAUAAGCGCUUUUUCUGUAAGUUGUUUAAUAGAGUUAUGUUGCAAAAAAAGCAGUUGGGAGGGCUUCGCAUACUAAAAGCUCUUAAAGUUUUACUACAUAGUCUUUUGGCUUUUCUAGAAGCAGUCUCAAACAGGGCUAAAGACUAAAGAGAGAGUUAGAUUUAGUUACCGGCCCGAGCACAAGGAAGCCGGAAAAAAGAUUCAAUAUGGUGUAGAUUGCCGUUGCGAAAAUGGAAGCUACUUGCAGGCUUGUGCUAAAAGAAGCUAUCAGCAUCCCAAGGUAUACAAAUUAGAGAAAUGUAGAGAAUGUUGCAUGGAAGUACCAGAAAACCUUAGUAGCUGACCAAUAGUACCCUAUUGUAGGGUAUGUAAUAAUGACAUACAGAAUUGCUUGAACCACUUUGUAAGUUAUUUCAAUGGCCACCUACAACAACAUUCAAAAUUUCGACAUGUUAAAAACCUUUCCACUACAAGCUACGUUAUAGUACCAGUUAAAAUGUACGAACCUGUGCAAACGAAUGAGCGUUUGAUGAGUACAUCCCAGCAAAUCUUUCCCGGUACAGAACUGCGCGCUCAGUAGCCACGUAAGGCAGAACCGUCGAGCAAUUGGUUGUGCCCAAAAAUAUUACAGCAAUGUACAGUAACCCAAGCACGUUGAACAAAUCAUGCUCAUUGUUUCUUGAGGAACAAGAAAAACACAGGAUUUAGCGUUGUUGAGCAAAAAUUGUACAUAAUAUGUAAACAAAUAAUUCUCUCGACAUAAUUUCACCCUCGUUCAUUUUUCGAAGAGGGUUUUAUUAGUUUGAGUUUGAUUCAUUCUAGGUUACGCGCCUAUUAAUUACAACCUUUCUUUUGGGAAAGGAAUACCCUUUGAUUCUAAUAUGAAUAAAUCGUAAUUUGAGGAUUUGGGUGUUUAUUUGAUUUUGUGACUGUAUCUAGGUAGAGCCCUAGAUUGCCUACGUACCCUCGUUGAGGGAUCAAAUCACUCGUAGUUCCUUAUGUGUUUUGUUGGGGUUUGACGCCUUGUGCAGUUUCAGCUCAUGCAGAUGAGGAUUUUAAGCCGUUGGAGCUUUAAUAAAUUUGAUAUGGUUUUAUGCCAUUCUGAAAUUUGAUACGGCUUCGUGCCAGUUAACAUAGCUUCGUGCCACUUGAGAUUUUGUUGCGGCUUCAUGCCAUUUGAUAUUUGACUUUUUCUUCGGCUUUACGGCUUCGUGCCAUUGAAUUGGCUUUGAGCCAUUUGAGGCAGCUUUGUCCCAUUUAAAGUGGUUUUAUGCCGCUUAAACGUUGAGUAAAAUUAACAGGUUUAUUUCUGAUAAACCCACUAAUAUUUUGGCAUUUGACUCUGGCUUGGUACCAUUUCUUACUCCAUGUUUAAUUUUACUUUUCCUUUUUCGUUUGCCCUUUCUUCUGACAAAUUUGUAGAGAAUCAUGCUUGGAAUAAAAAAAAAAUUUCCUCUGUUCCUUCAUGGGAUUUACUCCACAAGGGUUUUGUUCAAAGCAGCAGAAGUGAAUUUAGUUUAUACAAACCAGGGAUUCAUCUUGAUUUCUUGGUUGCGUCUAAAAUUUGAUAUCAGACUGCCUACGUAUCCUUAACGGAAUCAAACCGGCGUAGUUCGUAACUUUUGAGACUCAUCGCGGCUUUGUGCCAUUUGAUACUUGAUAUGGAUUCGUGCCAUUUGAAGUUUGACGGAGCCUUGUGGCAUUUGUGUCUUGUAAAUAUUUGUGAUGAACCCACUUUUACAUUGGUAUUUGACUUUGUCUUCCUUUUCAUUUAUUUUGUCUUGGAACCCAUUUUAUUUUGCCUACAAGCCCGUCACUCUAUUGUUGCCCUUUAUUUUUUUGCAUGGUAGCACAAAAAAAAUCCUUGCUUUCAUAUGGAAAAUAUAAAAGCAAGAGUCAAAGCUCCUUUAUUUUUACCAAUGCCUUUUUCAAGCUUUUAAGUCCCUUGCUUUUCUUCUUUCUUUAUUUUUCUUUUGUCAUUGCCGUAUGUCUCCCUAAGAACAACUCCACUUUUGGAGCCCUUUCUCCAUGCAAUCCACUAUUCAAUCCACCAUGUAAACAGUAAUUACCCUUAAUAAACAGUAACUACUUUUGUAUCUCAACCCUUGCACUUGAAUACCCUUGGCAAUAGGCAAUAAAAUAUUAAUUUUUAUAAUUAAUAUUAUAUUAUUUAAUUUGUACAAAUUAAUAUUAUAUUAUUAAUUUAUCUUUUCCAAUCUCUUCCCGAAACUUCUACCAUUUUUGUUUUCUUCUUCCUUCCCACUCUCUCACUCCCCUCUCCCUCAUUGUCUUCUUUUUUUUCUCCGGCCGACAGUCUACCUCCCCUCUCUCUUUUUCUCCCCCAUUUCUCCCUGUUUUCUUCCUCAAACGAGGAAGCUGCGAAUUUUGAGAGAGAGCAGCACCGAACCCACCCGCCUCCCGCCAUGUCUAAAUCCACUGAUGUGUCUUUCUUCCUCCUCAUGGUCCUCUGCGGCCAGGCCCAAAGAGGCCGCCUGCUUCUUUCCGACUUCAACCAAUCAACGUCAUCCGAUCUGAUCUCCGAUAGAGUCCACCACCACCACCGGUCCCACACCCUGGCUCCCUACCUCACUCUCGAGAACGCCCUUUCGGCGGAAGACUCCACCUGCAAGCAGACCUACGUUUUCCUGCCUUGCACCACCACUGUGAUCGACAACCUUUCCUAAUUCCUGACAGAAAAAAAUUAAAAAAAAGGACUGACGCCAGCCUGACGUCAGCCCCUACUCGGGCUGGCAAUUCCUCAUAGACCCUUUGCUCGGGCCUUGGCUGCUGCUUGGGCUUGCUCACGCUGGAGCUGGUCGACAGGGCCUUGGGCUCUUUCUUCUCCCCCCGUCCCUCGAGCAGGAGCUUCCGCUAAAGCUGCUCUAAUGGUUCGAAGAUGAUGGAAUCCAAUUUGAAAUGGCACAAGUUAAAUUUCCAUAAAGAACUCCCAUAACUUUAUUGACCCCUACGUGAGCAACUUUCCAUGUGAGGUGCUGAUUUCAGUUAGCAUUCUUCUUUGAUCUUUUCAAACCCAUUUAAACAUGGGACUUCGAACCUAUCUGACCUAAACUUCUGACCAAUCUGAGAGCAAGCCUUACUCUUUUCUUUGUUUGACUUCAAAGGUCUCCAAAUUCCAAUAAGACUUUAUCCCAUACUUUAAAUGGGGGAACCAUGACUUUCUUUUGUCUUCCACGACUUUCUUUUGUCCUCCACGUGAGUGGUUUUCUUGCUAUGAAGUAAAAGAAGACCACAUCAACAUUUUUUUAACUUUACUUUUGAUUUGACAAAAGCUUUUUGGUCUGGAACUCUUCUUCUCUCCUUAUGAGUUUUAAACAUUUUUUUUUCUUUGUCUUCAACCUUGAAUUUAGCUUUGCCCAACAUUUGACAAUAACUUACUUCAUCUUUGAGGUGCCACGUAUUUAGCCUUUUUUAAAAAAAACAAGCACUUUCUUUUGAGUUUUCUGUUUCCUGCAUGGAUUUGUCUUCACAGGGGUAAAACUAGUCUUCGACUAAAAUCACGAAUCAUCUUUUGCUUGUUGGAGAUUUUUUCUUCAAUUCCUAAUUUAAACAGGAAUUUGAAUGAAACUUGGUCAGUGGCAACUAGCGCCUAUUCUUCUUUGGCUGGGCUUUCUUUGGGUUUCUGUCUCAAUGAAGAACGCCAAAAGUUUUUGAAGAAGACCAUGGCCCGUCGACCGACAGAAGCUUCGGGACCAUAGCUGGGCAUGUUGGGUUCUUGUUCUCCACUUGUUCAAAUGUGCAGAGUGACGGCUUAUUCUCCGUUGCAUCUCUGAAAAGAGGAAGGGAGAUGUCGAAAACUUCUUUAGACACCCAAGAGGCUACAGGAGGUUGUGGGAAGACGAUUUGCUGCUGUGUUUUGAUGAAAUCUCCGUUGGACAUCACAAGUUGCAGGGUGUCGAUGAUGUUGAAGACAUGGCGCAGCUGCUGUCUCUGUUUGGGCUUCCGUCUAACGUCGGCGGUUUAUUGCAAUGUUGCCUUCAUUAGCUAUUUCACACCGCUGCCAUCUUCUUGCUCAAACCUUCGUCAAAUUUGUUGAUGGUCUGGACUGGCGUGCCCAACUACGUCACCUGGUUUCAUCACCUUCGGAUCACGAACUGCACUGCCCUUGGGCUUCUUCCGGAGGACUGACAGAGACGACGGUUGAAAAAUGGUGGUGUUGCCGUAGUGCAGUGAUCACCUAGACCUGGUUGGAACUUCACGGGGUGGUUUAGACCACCCCGAAGAAAUUCAUGGGACUGGGGAUGGGAGAGAAACAAAUUGUUUUUUUUUCUUCUUGCAAAGCCGAGAGAAAGCAUACAAAGAAAGAUUUAGAAGGAUAGAUUUAUACCUUUAAAUGCUUUGUAGCAUUUCCUGCUCUUUGUUCUUGCGGGUAGCACUUGAUAUCUUCUUCUUUUUUCUUCUUUUGUUUCUCUUUUGCCUUUGCUCUCUUGCUUUGCCUCUCAUUCUCUGUUGUCUUCAUUGCGCUUUUCUGUCUCUCAAUUUUUGCAGAGUACCCUUGUCUUUUUUUUUUUUUUUUCUCUUGCUGUAGUUGAUGCCUAUUUAUAGGCAUCCCAAGUAAAGGAUGAUACAUUCCUGAUCUCUUGGGAUUGUUUCCUGUUUCAUCAUGAUUUCCAGAUUUCCCUGUUUUAUUAAAACAUUCCCCUUAUGUAUUCUUUGUAGAUUAAUUAUACUUGUAAAUCAAGUCAUUGUACACUAUUUAAAUCAAUGAUAAUGCACCCUCUAGGGCAUCGAGGGAUUGAGCCAAAAUACCUUCUUUUGAGUUAUCUUUUAUGGUACUCAGAGCCAGUGACUAACGUCUUUUUUUUCUUUUCGGAUUCUUCCUACUCUUCUCCAUGGCUGCCUCAACCAGUUCGACUACUCCUUCCUCCGACAUCUUCCCUUCUGUUUCUCAUGCGAUCUCCAUCAAACUUGACUCUUCCAAUUAUCCUCUUUGGUUGGCUCAGUUGCUACCUGUUCUUCGCAGUCGUCAAUUGUUGGCUUUUGUUGAUGGUACUUCCAUCUGCCCCUCGGCGUUCUUGUCCGACGAUACCGGCAACGCCUCUUCCAAACCCAACCUCGCGUAUGCUGACUGGGUUCAGAAGGACCAGCUUGUUCUUUCUUGGAUCAAUGGCUCUCUUGGUCACCAGGCCCUCGCCGCCACUGCUCGUCAUUCCACUGCCCGUGAUGUUUGGGUUGCUCUUCAGCAGCGUUUUGCUUCUACAAACCAAAGUCGCAUUCUUCAGCUUCGUACUGCUUUCUUCCAGACCAAACGAGGUGAUUCUUCAAUUUCUGACUUUCUUGAUAAGAUCAAUGGUAUUGCCGAUCAAUUGGCCCUUGCCGGGGCACCUGUUUCUGCUGAUGACAUGGUGCCGGUCGUCAUGUCUAAUGUCGGCCCCAAAUUUGAGAACACUGUUGCUGCUGCUCAGGCCCGUGACAACCCCAUCUCCCUUUCUGAUCUUGAGGCUCUUCUUCUCGUUGCUGAACUCCGCCUUGCUGAUCCUCCUGCUCCGCCGGACUCCAGCGUCUCGGCCCUGGUAGCCUCCCGCGGCUCUUCUGCCUUUCAUGGCCGCUCCUCUUCUGAUCGCGGCGGCGAUCGUGGCUCUGGCCGUUUCUCACGUGGGGGUGGUCGUCCUCAACAUGAUGGGUCUCGCAACAAUGGUGGUGACGGCUAUCGUGGCUAUCGCGGUGCUGGUGGUUUCCAUGAUCGUCCGUUUCGCGAUCGUGGUGGUGGUCGUCCUCAGCACGAUGGCUCUCGCUUCCGUGGCUCCAACAAUGCUUCUGGGGUUCUUGGUCCAGCCCCAUAUCACGGUUCCUCCCGUCCUCGCUGCCAUAUUUGCAAUACUUUUGGUCAUGGUGCUCUUGACUGUGCUCAACGUCUUAAUUUGGCUUAUGAAGGUCGUCCUCCUUCUUCCCGUCUCACUGCCUUGACUGCUCAGCACUCCCAGCCUUGGCUCAUUGAUUCCGGGGCAAACUCGCAUAUCACCAAUGAUCUCAAUACUUUGUCUCAGUCCCGUGAUUAUCGUGGUGGUGAUUCCGUCGGUGGUGUCGUUGGCGGUACAGGUUUGCCCAUUAACCGUAUUGGCUCCUCCACUCUCUCUCAUAAUAAUAUUUCUUUCAAGCUUAAUGAUGUUCUUCAUUGUCCGGAUGCUUCUACUUCUGUGUUGUCUGCUAAUCGGUUUAUGUUGGAUAAUAAUUGUUAUAUUACAUUGUUUCCUUCUUGUUUCUAUAUUCAGGAUAUGGAGACGGGGACGAUUCUUUUUUCGGGCAAGAGUAGCAAUGGCUUUUAUCCCUUUUCCUCUUCAUCACCGACUGCUCAUGGUCGUGCUGCUUUUCUUGGUGUUCGUGUUGGUAGUGAUGUCUGGCACUCUCGUUUAGGCCAUCCAUCUUCUUCCAUUUUAAAAUUUCUUUUUUCUAGGCAUUCGAAUAAGUUGCCUGUUUCUGGCAACCUCAAUCUCAAUACUUUUAUGUGUCAUUCUUGUCCUUUAGGCAAAAGUGUUAAGUUACCUUUUUCUGCAUCAUUGUUUGUUACUCAAGCUCCUCUUGAGCUUAUUCACUCCGACGUGUGGAGUGCGUCCAAUAAAUCUGUUAGUGGUUUCCAAUAUUAUGUUCUUUUUGUUGAUAAUUUCUCUCGUUAUUCUUGGAUUUAUCCCAUGAAAUUGAAAUCUGAAGUCUUUAAUAUUUUUACUCACUUUAAGACCUUGGUUGAAAAUCAAUUCUCCACUAAAAUUAAGAUGUUUCAGUCCGAUGGUGGGGGCGAAUACACUAGUCACCAAUUCAAGAAUUUUUUUCUUCACCAUGGUAUUCAUCAUCGUCUCUCAUGCCCUCACCAUCCCGAACAAAAUGGUUUGGCGGAACGCAAACAUCGUCACAUUGUCGACACUGGACUUACUUUAAUGGCCCAUGCGUCGAUGCCUCCUGCCUAUUGGGCUAAGGCCAUGCACACAGCAGUUUAUCUUCUCAAUCGCCUCCCCUCUAAAGUACUUGGUUUUAUGUCUCCUUAUCAAAAGUUGUUUCUUAAGGAACCUGAUUAUAGUUUUUUAAAGACCUUUGGGUGUGCAUGUUUUCCCCACCUACGACCCUAUAAUAAUAAUAAACUCCAGUUUCGUUCUACUAAAUGUGUUUUUCUUGGUUACUCUCUCAAUCAUCAAGGUUCUCGGUGCUUAGACAUCUCUACUAACCGCAUCUUUUUAUCACGCCAUAUUGUGUUUGAUGAAGGUAAUUUUCCUUUCAAGGCCAUCUCUGGCUCUCUUGCCCCAUCCUCCCCGGCCUCGUCUCCUCCUCCUGUUUUAGAAAUCACUGGGCCUCUUCCGCAUGCCCCCCGACCGUCUAGCAGCCAACCGGUGGUUGUGUCCCCCUCUUUGGAGACUCAUCAAUCCAGUCCAUCAUCCGACCCACCACAGCCGGCCCUACAGGUUUACUCCCGUGACCCUCACAGGCGGGUUCUUUCUUUUGCACAAGCAGCAACCCCAUCUGUCACUCCCAGGCCCACGCCUGCUGUUGCCUCUGCAGUUCAACCUGAUGCGCCUCCCGAGGCUCCAUCUGCUGCUGUACCACCUGCCGUGCCCUCUACUUCCCAUGGUAUGCUCACUAGGUCCAAAACGGCUUCUCUUAAGCCUCAUAAAUAUGUUUUUUCUGCUGCCAUUUCUUCUUCUACCGGUCCUAUUGAGCCUACUUGUUUUAGUCAGGCCAACACUUUUCCCGAAUGGCGUACUGCGAUGGCCGAUGAAUUUAAUGCACUUCAACGUGCUGGUACUUGGACUCUUGUUCCUCGUACCGCUUCUAUGAAUAUUUUGCCAAACAAAUGGGUGUUUCGUAUUAAACAGAAUUAUGAUGGGUCUAUUCAGCGGUAUAAGGCUCGUUUGGUAGCCAAUGGUUUUCAUCAGCAACCCGGCCUUGAUUAUGGUGAAACUUUUAGUCCUGUUGUCAAUCACUCUACUAUUCGCUUAAUUUUGGCUCUUUCAGUUCAGUUUCAAUGGCCUGUUCGUCAGUUGGAUGUUCAGAAUGCUUUUCUUCAUGGCUCUUUGUCUGAGGAGGUCUAUAUGCACCAACCUCGUGGCUUUGUUGAUCCACAGUUCCCUCAUCAUGUGUGCCGCCUUCGUCGUUCUUUAUAUGGGCUCAAGCAGGCGCCCCGUGCAUGGUUCCAAUGUUUUUCCACUCAUUUGGAAGAUUUGGGUUUUCGUCCCUCUACUGCGGAUCACUCGCUUUUUACCUAUAUUCAUGGCUCUACUCGCAUUUAUCUCUUAAUUUAUGUUGAUGAUAUUUUGGUCACCGGGAAUAAUCCCUCAUAUUGUCACCCUCAUUAAGAAUUUGGGCAUCCGUUUCUCUAUGAAGGACCUUGGACCGGUUCAUUAUUUCUUAGGCAUGGAGGUGGUCCGCACUCCAUCAGGUCUCUCUCUUUCCUAACAAAAGUAUGCCACUGACCUACUUCACCGCACCAAAAUGCAUGGUGCUAAGCCGGUUCCUACUCCUGCCGUUAGUGGGCGACGGCUCAGUCUUCAGGAUGGUGACCCUCUGCCGGAUCCUAUUGAAUACCGAAGUGUUGUCGGCGCCCUUCAAUACUUGACUCUCACUCGUCCCGACAUCAACUUCGCCGUCAACCAAGUCUGCCAAUUUCUUCACCAGCCGACUUCUACUCAUUGGGCCGCCGUCAAACGCAUUCUUCGUUACCUUGUCGGCACUACUUCUCACGGUCUUACCUACAAGCCUGGUUCCUUUCGUCUUACAGCAUUUUCCGAUGCCGAUUAUGCCGGGAUCCUGAUGAUCGGCGUUCCACCGGGGGCUAUUGCUUGUAUCUGGGUUCCAAUCUUGUCUCAUGGAGUGCCAAGAAACAAAAUGGGGUCUCUCGGUCCAGCACUGAAGCCGAGUAUCGUCAACUUGCAAUCACCGCUGCCACUCUUUCAUGGUUUCGUAUGCUGUUCCGUGACCUCCAGUUUCCUCUACAUUGUCCUACACUGUUUUGUGACAAUAUCAGUGCUAUAUCCCUUGCUUCCAACCCGGUGUUUCAUGCCCGCACUCGGCAUGUUGAGGUGGAUUACCAUUAUGUUCGUGAAAAGGUUGUUCGCAAGGAGAUUGAUGUUCGUUAUCUUUCUACUCAUGAUCAGAUUGCUGACUUCUUCACCAAGGGCCUUUCUCUUCCUCGUUUUCGACUUCUGGUUUCCAAGCUUCCUGUACUUGAUUGUACUGUCAGCUUGCGGGGGCGUAAAGGAUGAUACAUUCCUGAUCUCUUGGGAUUGUUUCCUGUUUCAUCAUGAUUUCCAGAUUUCCCUGUUUUAUUAAAACAUUCCCUUUAUGUAUUCUUUGUAGAUUAAUUAUACUUGUAAAUCAAGUCAUUGUACACUAUUUAAAUCAAUGAUAAUGCACCCUCUAGGGCAUCGAGGGAUUGAGCCAAAAUACCUUCUUUUGAGUUAUCUUUUCCCAAGAAGGCUCUAGAAUUUGUUACGUGGGGGAAGAUGGAGACCAUGACCUCCUGCCACUUUCUGUUAACCCCCUUUUCUGACUCCACGUUUCUUUUUGUUGCAGAAAAUGGGGGAGCACCUGUUUUUUGCACGUUACUUCCCCCCUUAUGUAGGAAAAAAAUUAUAAAUUUUUUAUUUAUUCCUGAAUGUAUUUGUAUGUAAAGCUCAUCCUCAUCUUUUGGGUUGGAUUACAUUUUUGUUUUACCUUGAAGUUUGACUCAAUUUGAAUGGACUUUAUUUUUUCAUAUUUUUUUUGUUCAACAAGCGUAGUUUUCUUUUUCUUUUUCUCUGUGAAAUAUAUAGUAUGAAGAGGGUGGAAAUGGGUCGGGGCUUACAUUUCCUUCACUUUCUGCCAAAAGAUUGUUCCGAACCACACUGAUAGAGCGAAAAUAAACGCGAAACGUGCUAGAUUGUACUUUGGACUUCUCCAGUGGGACAAGUGUUGUUUCCACAGACAUGCCUUAAACUGCACCCAGCUAUUUUGAGCAAAAGGAGUGGGAAGGUUCAAGCCCCUUGAACCCGGCUUUGGUUCGCUCAACCGGCUAACCAACUCGACCGUGUCUCUCUGAAAAAGAAGGAAACAAACAUAUAAAUUUGAUGAUUGAAAUAAAUACAUGAUUAAUCCUAAAAUAAUGGAAAUAUUAGAGAUAUGCCCUUACCUAUACUGAGUAGAGGGUUUAUAAAUUUCAGCAAAAUCUAAACAAAGUUUUGCCUCUACUGAGGCAGAAGUAACUUCUAACAUCCAAGUUGCUGGAUUGUAAUUUUCUUUGAUCUUUGGUACAUCACGAAUAUCCUCAAAAUAUUUGACGAGUUUACUCGAGUGAUGACCGAGAACUCCAGAAUAGAUGAUUUGGCCUCCCCUUUUCAUCAAAAGUAACUGCAAAAAUCAAUGUCUUCCGUUAGUGAUCGAGUGGCUUUUAUGAUUUGGUUUAGUUUUCUUGGACUCCAUGACAAUGCUCGUUAUACUACCUCGUCAAAUGACUGAAAAAUAUCAAUGCUUGGCUUGUGGAUUGUGCAAACAGUUGUCCUUCCUGUGGAAACAACAUUCUUUACUACGCAAAUGGCAAUUGCAGCUGCUCUGGCGUCUAAGCCUGACGUAGGUUCAUCCAUAAAUAUUAUUGAUGGGUUGGAUACAAGCUCCACUGCAAUUGUUAGCCUUUUGCGCUGUUCAGUAGAUAGGCCAGUUUGUCCAGGAAUGCCAACUAAGGAAUCUCUUAUAUCCUCCAGUUCAAUCGUUUGAAUGACUUCCUCCACAAAUUUCUGCAUAGAUUAAGCAAAGGAUACUUUCUUUUAUAUGUUCCAGGAAAUUUGCAUAUUAUUGAUAAAUUGAAAGAAUAUCAUCCUACAGCUUUUAUGUCUGGAUCAGUUUCGUGUGGCAACCUCAACCAAGCUGAGAACAUAAGCGAUUCUUCUACCGUGAUCUGUGGAGAAUGUAUAUCAGUCUGCUCGCAGUAUCCUGAUAUUCUUGCAAAUGUCUUCUGGACCUUGGGGUACCCUCCGAUUCUUAUAUCUCCCACGAUACUACCUCCUGUUUCCCUUCCAGAAAGAACAUCCAUGAGAGUUGUUUUUCCAGCCCCAUGCGGUAGGAAUUCCUGGACUGAAUGCUCCUGUUAUAUCUUUAAGCAACUGAAGCUUUUUCUCCUUGAAAGCAUGCUGUCUCAUUUCCUUUUUUAAGAAGGAAUGAAGUUAAAAUACAACUAAAUAGUUUUCCAAUGAUACUAAUAUGUGAAAAUUGACUAAUGAUUUGAUUAAUUACCGGAGGUGUAUCAACAUAAUACUGCACGUCCUUAAAUGAGAUUGUCAGUGGCUCGAACGGCAGGACCAUUCUCCCUGUUUAACAAAUUGAUUUACUCUCGAAUAAUUCAGUUGUUAAAAAAAUUCCUUGCUCGUUGCUUUGAAUGGAAAAUGUGAAACUGAUAACCCGGAUAAACUGGAUGCAACAAUUCAUCUCACCUAGUGUUAUCUUUUCUCCCAUGGUUUUGAAUAAAUCGGAUAGAGUUGAUUCAUUUUCCAACGGUGCACCAGUUUGGGUUAAUAUUUAACAUUGGGCUUAUAGGAGAGAAAGCCCAAAAGAGUUCAAUAAGAAGAGUUUCGUCCGAAGCCCAGCACCAAGCCCAGACCGUCCAUCUCAAGACCAAUUGGCACUCUCCUAUUAAUGCAAAGGCUAAGUGCUUACAAGAGAAGUGACAACUGAUGAAAAUCAACCUACUCUCAGCCCAAAAGUACUUUUCAGUGGCAAUACAAGUAAAAUAUUGAUGAGUCACUACCAUUCAAUUGCUUUUGGGUAAGAACAAAGCUACAAGCGGUCGGACUAAUUCGUUUAUAAAAGGAGGAAGAGGGCUCAGAGACAAGGACACUCAAUCAAUCAAACAUACAACUUGUCUCUCAUCCAAGCAAAUACCCAGAAAGCUGUGCUUUGUCCAGACUCUGCACCCUUUUAGCCUUAGAUUUCCUUAGAAAGACAUCUUUUUUCUAUGUAAAAGCUCUGCUACAUUUUUCUAAAUGUUGUAGUAUCGAUCCCUCGUGUAUAAACUCGUUUCCAGUCAUCUCCUUUAGUACUCAAUUCUUUUGUAAACUGCAAAGAGAAGAGAUCGCAAGGCGUUUAACCUUGCUUGACAAAGUGAAAUCUUGCCCAACUCUCUUUGUUUUUAUCUUUCAAUUAACAAAUAUGGUGUUAUAAUGUAUUCCGUAGUUUAUAUUCAAGUUAUUUCCAGUCCUUUGAUGACCCAAAGCCCCAUCAGUUCUCAGAUCUGGUUCACUUAGUGGUUUUAUCAAGAAUUGAAAUGAAUUAAACUGAUGACUUGAUCAGAUCUAAGCCUUCACCCCUCAAGCAUACAAAAUAACUAAAAGUCUUUGAUCUCAAGGCAUAGAAAAUAACUUAAUGUAGACUUAAUCCAUCUACAACAAUCCUUUGAUAAACAAGAAGUCAGAAAUAACUUGGGGUGCAAGUAAUCGGCUUAAAACACACUUGUUCUACAUCUGCCAUACAGAGAUGGCAGUGGCACGCCUAAGCACCUAGUUAGUUUUGAAUGCGAGCCUCAAGGCCUAUACCUAAGGCCCCACAAAGGCACCUUUCAGAACUAACUUUGUUUUCCUCUUGCAGUAUUGUGACAAGCAGGAGCCCAACAAUCAACCAAAGUGCCAACUCCUCGGGCAGCUGUGUGCUCGAGCCAGGAACGCCCACCAACCAGAUUUCCUGCCCAAAAAGCACCAGUUUUGCGAGCUCCCCUUCUUCAAAGUUGAGAUAAUCUUUUUUUCGAAACAAUAGCCCGAUACACCUUUGGAGCUGUAUGAGGAAAAGCUUAAGUAAACUGAUGUGGAGCUGUAUGAGGAAAAGCUUAAGUAAACUGAUGAAGUGGAUUGUAAUACUUAAGUUAUCAUCUGUCAAUUAAAAUGAAUCUAAGUAAGUUAAUGCUAAAAUAAAUCCAAGAUCAGACAGCAUUGUGAACCCGAGUAAUGCUCCUACUGAUAUCCAAUAGAAAUAGCCAUCAAAGUUCAAACCAUGCCUGGUUAGAACUUUAUUCCCUAGGGUUGUGUUUCCCUCUGAGACCUAAAGAAAUGAAUUAACACUGUCAAAACACUUAUUCGACUUCGAUGAUCGGGUACUAAAAAAGUUUAUCAUCUUGAGUUGUACCUUUUGCCAGCGAGGAGCGAGGAACUCGUUUAGAGUUGUACCGAUUUCCCCAUAAGUCAUAGGUGAACACCAGAAUAGUCAACGCAACCAAGGAGGUAAAGAGGCUGCAAAACACCCCUUAUUAGUCUAGUUGUAGUUGAAUGUAACUAAAGGAAAAAUACGAUAAAUGGACUUACAUCGUGGCAAGAUGAAGCCUCCGGAUAAAAACAUUAGCACUAGGAUUAAAAUACCGCAAGUUGAUGCAACAACCAUAGUUUGGAAAACUACAGCAAUUAAACGACAUAUGGAUGUCGAUGCUUGAUGGAGAGCAAAUAGCACAAGGAACUGGAAGAAGAACCUAAAAACCAUAGCAUAUUCUUGAGGCAUUAUUAUGAUUAUUGUUCAAGCCUUUCAUGUUCUGUCGUGUGACUAUAAAGUUGAGAUCUUACGUUUUUAUGUCUGGAGCGUACCCAAUCAAAUGGUAAGUUAUUGCUGUCCACAGCAGUGAAUCAAUCACUGAAAAUGGAACCUUCAGGAUAGACUGGAAGAGAAUACGCCCAUGCUGGAUACAGAUUGAAUCCUCUUUGCUUGUAAACCACUGGUAAUCUAGUAACAGUCACAGCUCUGCAAUUCCGUUGGUCAUAAGUCGAAUAAGUGUAUAAAACAAUGAGUUCAUAAAAAAACUUGCAUUUAUCAAAUCCACGGUCCUACGGGUGCUUAUACAGAUUGCCAUUGUAAUAAAUGCAGUGAUGACAAGCUGUGGGAAAAAAAGAGAGAAAAUAUAGUAAGUGAUUUUGAGUUUAACUUCAGAAGUACAACCCCUAAAAGUGAUAUCAUUAGGCAGUAAACCUGAGCUGUUUUGAAUACGUAGAGAAAGGAAUUCCGUUUCAUGAGAAGAAGCUCUCGGGCCAUACAACCUUUGAACAACUCCCAUUUGCUCACAGAGUAAGUACUAAAUGAUAAGGCAUUAUCAUGGCACUGUGAUUUAUUGUAUGGUUUUGAGAGCUCAUCGUCUAAUUUCUUCCCCGAGUAACUUGCUCUGAAAAGUUCAAAAAAUUUGUUUGCAGAAACAUGACCGUAGGGAAUGUUAUCAUGCUUCCAGUAUUGUGCUUGAUCCUUCUUUGAGAUCACCUCUUGAAGGAAAUCUGCAGCACCCUUUCUUGGUGGGCACUUGAAACCAGAGUCUUCGAAAAACUCAACUGCGUGGCUGCGAUGACCGUGGUAAACUAUCUUCCCCUCUGCCAUUAGUAUUACAUCAUAAAAAAUAUCAAUGGUCUCGGGUGCUGGUUGGAGAAGUGAUACCAAUGCAGUUGUAUCUGUGAUAUGCACCAGCUGCUGAAGAUAGGUAACUAUCUGAAAGGUUGUAGAACUGUCUAAUCCCGUUGAUAUCUCAUCCAUAAAAAGAGCUUUUGUAGGACCUACAAUCAUUUCUCCUGAAGAUUAAACAGAAGAGGAAUGUUAUGUUUGAAACAUUUUUCUACAUGGGAAUUAGUAAUUACAUUCAAAUUUCCCUCGGAUUCAAGAUUUCACUACCGGUUGUCAGCCUUUUCUUCUGGCCACCAGAAAUGCCUCUUCUUAAUGCAUCACCAACCAUUGUGUCACUCACUACACAUACCCAGUCCAAGUAUCUAAAGAGAUUCCAAAAUAUCGUAAUUCAUUUUUCCUGUCCGAGUGAGUUAGAAAUGUCACGUUUGAACUACUUAAUGUCAGCAUUGUCCAUGUCCAACACUGGUUGGAGAAAAAUUUACCUUCAAAACAUAAUCGGUUUGGAGAUUUUCCCUUUGUCCUUCAACUGAAAUGGCCUGUGAGUAUUAUGUAAAUCUCUAAAACCUCUAACACAAAAGGGUGGUAAGAUUUACUAAAAGGAAUGUUAUGAGACUUUACAAUUACCUUCAUGUAGGUGUCAAUAUCUGGAUCGGGGACUAUUCCUGCUUCUUUUUCCCUUCUGCUGAGCUCCAUUAUUAUAUAUGCAUAAAAUACGAUCGAAAUUAAACUUCAUACGUCAAUAGAAGUACACGACUAACCCAAUAGUAAAUGCAAUAGGGGAUAAGGAAUAUGCACCAGCUCUACUGCCAACACCCUGGCAGCGGGAGGAAAAGUCAAUUGUUUCCCUCAGUCAUCUCAGGCAGGUGAAGGUCAUGCUGGCUAAUGUAAGCUGAUGUUUUUUGGGGAACAAACUCAUCUAGCUUGUAACCAUUAUAAGUGUUGUAAACUGAAAUAGAAAGGAACGAAGUUACCUAAAAAAAUGUAGAAGCCUUGAGUGGUGAAUGAUUAUUGGGAUGAGUUGCGGACUAAGUCGCUUUCUUUAAGACGUUUCGCGGCUCUACCCAAAGUGUGCAAGCAGUUCACAAACACCACAUCGUCCUAGGAUAAAACAGCCCAAAACCUUCUUCUUCUUCUUCUGAUAAAGUUCUUCCUUGUACAGUAGAAGAACCUUCGAAUUCACAUUCUCUCAAUAUGUUGCUAACCAAAACUAUAUAUUAGAAAAUAUAUCUUCUUUUUUUUCCGCAUACUUUCAAUGAUCCAGGGACUACUAUAUAUACAUUUAGACGAAAGAGAUGUUGAGGGUUUGAGAAAAUUGAAAGCAGGACAAAAUCAAAACGUAAGUCAAAUAAAACGGUUUGAUUAUGUAUCAUGACAUGAUCUUCUUCUCUAUACAAAGAAGGAAUGGCACGUUUCAAACUUAAAAGGAGAUAACUCCUUACCUAAUUGAAAAGUCAAAAUCAAUUGGCAGUUAUGCAUAGAAUAUUGGUAAUAAAACAAAACGUUAUGUAUAUAAUAUUGGUAAUAAAAUAAAACAUAAAUAUAUUUAAAUAUUUAAAUAAAAACAUAUUUACUCAACAAUCCCCCACUUGUUUUUGUUUAAAACUAUACAUCAAGCAAUAUAUCGUAAAGCUAUACAGAAGUAAAUGUGUUUCUCAACUUAAAUCUAUACAUAGUGUUAGUGAUCGAGAUUAUACUAGAGUAACUUAUAGUUUUGAACUCUAUCCCUAACAACACCACACACACAACUUUAUUAAGGUGAAGUUCAAAAAGCCAGCACAUUACAACCAUGUGCUUGUAUCCCAGUAUAGUGAACGCUCUAGAAACUUGCUCAAGAUUUCAUAGGAAGCGGCAUCACUUCCACAUUCACAUAGUUAAGACUAUCAAGGUAUUCCUGUAGCUAGAUAUCUCACUUAACAUAGAGUAUAGACCUUACUAAGAGAAAAAAAAAUCUCAACCUAAAUACGCUUCAGGAUGUCAUGCUUCUUAGGGAUGGACAUGGAAUAAUAUUCCAAACUAAAAUUAGCAAGACUUCACUCUUAUCACUUGUGACUUGUUAUUACCCUUUGAACCUAUUUCUUGGGAUCUCUAGUCUAUAGGUUGGGUUGCUAUCACAAAUAACUCAAUUCUCUAGGGCUUUAGUCCCAUCCCUUUCGAGGUUUUCCAAACCUUUUCUCGUGCUAGUCCUUUUGUCAAAGGAUCAACCAAGUUUUCUUCAUACCGUAUAUGAUCCACUCUCACAGCUCCAUUAGACAGGUAAUCUCUUACAGUGAUGUGCUUACGACGUAUUUGUCGCCCUUUCCCAUUAUAAUAAUGAUUUUGCACUUUAGCUAUUGCCGAUGUGCUAUCACAAUGGAUCAAAACUGCUGGAAUCGGUUUCUCCCAUAAAGAGGUAUCUGACAGUAGGUUUCUCAACCAUCCUGCUUCUUCGCUUGUCGUAGCUAGCGCUAUUAAUUCUGACUCCAUAGUGGACUGAGCCAUGAUAGUAUGUUUCUUAGACUUCCAUGAUACAACCCCACCACCAAGACUAAAAAUACAUCCACUAGUGGCUUUAGAGUCAUCUGAAAGGGUAUUCCAAUCAGCGGCACUGCAACCUUCUAGGACAGCGGGAAACUUCUCAUAGUGUAAUCUAAAAUUCAUUGUCCUUUUAAGGUAUCUCAUAAGCCUAUCUAUGGCAUGCCAAUGCUCCAAACUAGGUCUACUAGUAAACCUGCAUCAAACUCCUACGACAUAAGAUAUAUCAGGCCUAGUGCAAUCAGUAGCAUAACGAAUGCUACCAAUAAUACUCGCAUACUCAGAUUGUUUAACACUGUCACCAAUGUUCUUGAACAAUUUUACACUAGGAUCAUGAGGAGUACAUGCUGGUUUACAAUCAAAAUAAUUAUACUUUCUUAAAAUUGUUUCUAUGUAGUGAGAUUGAUCUAAAGAAAACCCAUGUUCAAACCUAGUUAUUUUCAAACCAAGUAUUACGCUAACUUCACCCAAGUCUUUCAUAUCAAAAUUAGCAGAUAACAAAGAUUUGACAUUAUUCACAACAUGAAUAUUCGAACCAAAAAUAAGCAAAUCAUCCACAUAUAGGCAUAUAUUACUUUCAGACUUAUAAUAGAUGCAUUUGUCACUUUCAUUUAUUUUAAAACCAUUUGAAGUAACCAAACUAUCAAAUUUUGCAUGCCAUUGUGUGGGAGCCUGUUUCAAUCCAUAAAGUGACUUAUUUAACUUGCAAACUUUAUUUUCUUUUCUUGGAAUAAUAAAACCUGUGGUUGACCCAUAUAUAUUUCUUCCUCUAAUUUACCAUUUAAGAAAGCUGUUUAACAUCCAUUUGGUGCACAACAAGAUCAUGAAUAUAAGUUAAGGCAAACAAUACACGAAUAGAUGUUAUUCUAGUCACAGGUGAACAAAUAUAAAAGAAAUCAAUCUUUUCUCUUUGUCUAUAGCCUUUGGCAAUAAGUCGGGCUUUAAAAUUUUCAACUGAUCCAUCAGGUUUUAAAUUUUUUUUAAGAAUCUAUUUGCAACCUAUUGUUUUGCAACCAGGUGGAAGAUCCACCAAGUGCCAAGUUUGAUUUGACUCCAGGGAGUCCAUUUCAUCAUUUAUAACUUCUUGCCAAAAAAUUGCAUCUAAAGAAGUUAAAGCUUCUUGAAUUGUAUUAGGAUCUUCUUGUAAGUUAUAUACAUGGAAAUCAGGGCCAAAAUCUUUAGCUAUUCGAGCUCUUUUACUUUUCCUAGGUUCUAAUGCAGAUUGACUAUGUUUUACAACAUUAGGUUCAUAAAUUUUAGAAGAAUUAGAACCCCCACUAUUUUGAAGAUUAAAAGGAAAUUUAUUCUCAUAAAAAUCAGCAUCAAGUGACUCAAUUAUGACAUGGUUUUUCAAAUCAUAACAUCUAUAUGCUUUGCUAUUACAUGCAUAACCAAUAAAAACACAUUCAUAUGCUCUACUAGCCAAUUUCGAUCUUUUUGGACCAAGUUUACGAACAUAAGCUAAACAACCCCAAGUUUUGAAAUACAAUACAUUUGUUUUCUUAUUUUUCCAAAUUUCAUAAGGAGAGAUAUUCGAUUCUGAGGUAGGAAUUCUAUUUAAUACAUAACAUAUAGUCAACACAAUUUCACCCCACCAAUAAGAAGCAGCUCCAGAACUAAGUAGCAACACUCAAUUCGCAAAGAGUUCGAUUUUUUCUUUCCGCUUUACCAUUCAUUUCAGGAGAAUAAGGAGCAGUAGUUUCAUGAAUAAUUCCAUUAGACUUAAACAAAUUAACAAAUUCAAUGGAUUCAUAUUCUUGUCAUCUAUCACUACGAAAUCUUUUAAUCUUAUGAUUAAACUGAUUUUCAACUUCAGUAAAGAAAGUUUUGAACAUGUCAAUAGCUUUACUUUUAUUUUUCAUAAGAUAGACAAAACAGUAAUUCAAACAAUCAUCAAUAAAGGUAAUAAAAUAACGUUUUCCAUUUCUAGUUAACACUCUAUCAAAUUCGCAUAUAUCAGAAUGAAUUAAGUCAAGUGGUUCAGAUUCUCUAUUGACAGAUUUAUGUGAAGUUCUAGUGAUUUUAGCUUGACUACAAUAUUCACAUUUUUCAAAAUCAGUCAACGAUAAGUUAGGUAAAAAGCCUAAGUUACUCAUGUUCUUAACCAAGAGUUUGUUAACAUGACAAAGUCUAGCAUGCCAAGUAUUAAAAGAAGACAACAUGUAAUCAGAAGUAGACAUUUUAUCAACAUUCAAUUUAAACAUUCCAUUAGUAGCAUAUCCCUUUCCCACAAAAACCCCAUUUCUAGUAAGAGUAUACGUAUUUGCUCCAAACGUUUGAGUGAAUCCAGCCUUGUUGAGAAGUAAGCCUGAGACCAAAUUCUUCCUUAUUGUUGGAGCAUGCAUCACAUCUUUCAGUAUCAUGGGUUUUCCAGAGGUGAACUUUAACUCCACCUCUCCAGUACCAGCAACAUCAGUUGAGUGCGAAUCACCCAACAACACAUUUCUUCCCUCAGCCAUAGAAUAGGUCUUGAAAAGAGAACGAUCGUAGCAAGCAUGGGGAGAAGUGCCAGUGUCCACCCACCACCCACCACCCCUCGGACUAAGUUGAUUUCUGAUAUCAUUGCAAUUAGUUGCUCUUCAACAAGAUUUGUUUGAGAAGCAAAGUUUUCCUUAUAAUGCAUGGCAGAUUGAAUUCAUCUUAAAAUUGUUGUAAACUGAAAUAGAAAGGAACGAAAUUACUCAAAAAAAAUGUAGAAGCCUUGAGUGGUGAAUGAUUCUUGGGAUGAGUCAGGGACUAAGUCACUUUCUUUAAAACAUUUUGCGGCUUUGCCCAAAGUGUGCAAGCAGUUCACAAACACCACGUCGUCCCCAGGAUAUAACAUCCCAAAACCUUCUUCUUCUGAUGAAGUUCUUCCUUGCACAGUGGAAGAACCUUCGAACUCACACUCUCUCUCAAUAUGUUGCUAACCAAAACUAUAUAUCAGAAAAUAUAUCUAUUUUUGUUCCGCAUACUUUCACUACUAAAUAUACAUUUAGACGAAAAAGACGUUGAGAGUUUGAGAAAAUUGAAAGCAGGAAUAAAACGGUCUUAGGUCCGAUUCUCGCCGAAGGCGAAUUUGAACCACUAAACCGUAGCACUAAGUGGCUCCUAACAAUGUCUCUUAACAAGUUUAGAGGUAUUUGUCUUCACUAAUAAAUGAAAAGCGUUUGAAUUUCAUGAAUGACAAGUGCAAUACAAAAUUCAAAUUAUCAUGGUUCUUCCAUUAUAUGAUUUAACCAAAGCAUACCAUCUCUUAGUGUAAAUAUAUCAUUGAACUAUCAUUGAAGUAGUUCCAACAUUCGUAUACCAUCUUAAUUAUCAAUUUACUAUUACAAAAUUUCUAUUAAUUUUUCUUUACAAACUAAAGUGUUAUUAGGCUAAGUUGUUAAAUAUUAGGAGAUGAGUAGGGAUCGACCCACCGCCAAAGUACAUAUAUAGGUAUUACUGUUUUCUGCUACUAUGAUAAAGUGUAAUAUACUUCUAUAUAUUAAAAGAAAAUUCACUGAUACAUUUCCACAUGUAAACAUUCAACAUUGGACAUAUAUAAUAUUUUUCCCUACUUCUUUGGAAAUUUAAUUUUCCAAUGCAAUAGGCAAAUAGGGAAACAAAGACAAUCCCAACUGGGAAAGCAAUGAGAACAAGAGCCACAAGGCCUAAACAAUCAUGGUGGAAACCAUAAUAAUCUUGUAGGAUUAUUUUCUAUUUAAAAAACGUAUGUGAACAUACACAUUAUUUUCUAUUAUAAUAUGUGUAAGUUUAUGAAGGGAAAUAUUCACUAAAAUGAUCAAAAAUCAAAUUCUGAUGCCAAAACAAAAUCAAAUAUUGUCAUACUGAAAAACUAAUCAUUUCAACAAAUGAGAUUCAAAUAUUUGAUUAUUUUGGCCAAUUUUCCUGUAUUGAUACCCUAACCUAAAGUAUAAAUUACUUGCACAUCCAAAUUAUAACACAUGAAUUAACAACACUCCGUCAAUUAGACUUGUGUUACAUGUAUUUACACGGUUAUUGUCAUUCCAAGUGCUCAAAUGCUAAUGGAGUUACACAAAACCAUCAAAUAUUAGAAAAGAUUGGAUUCAAGAUAUACUAAGUAUAAUGUACAGAAUGUUGCAUAUAAAGUACCAGAAAACUUUAGUAGGUGACCAAGAGAACCCUAUUGCAGGAUAUGCAACGGCUACAUACAAAACUUGUAACAUUGUAUAAUGUAUUUUAAUGGCAACAUGCAACAUUUAACACUUUACACUAUAUUUGGAUGAGGAAGUUUAAGAUUGCUAAGGAAAUUUAAAGUAACGGAAAUUGAAAUGAUGGAAUUUUAUUUUAUAGAAUAUGUGAAUUUUCUUGUUUGGUUGAGGAAAAUAAACUUGGAAUUUAGAUAAAAGUCAGAAUUUGUAAAUUGACAUGCACCAGUUUCCUUGUUUGGAUUCAUAAACAUAUAUAGGAAUUUAGAAUUUUCGGGUGAAAAAAAAACUUGGAAUUUGGGACCUCCAAUUCCCAAGUUUAAAUUCCAUGUAAAUAUGUAUCAUUUCCCAAUUUCUAUGAUUGAGUGCUUAAAAAUAACAAAUUCCGUAAUCAAUUCCAUUUAUUUUUAGGUUAACCAAACAAGAGAAUUCACAAAUUCUAGAAAAUAAAAUCCUGUCAAUUCAAUUUCCGUCAUUUUAAAAUUCCUUAGUAAUCUUAAAUUUCUUCAUCCAAACAUAGUGUUAAGAACAAUGGAAUUUGAAAUGAAAUUUGUUAUUUUAAACCCUCAUUCAUGAAAAUUCAGAAAUGACACCAAUUUACAUAGAAUUUAAAAUGGGAAUUAGAUGUCCCAAAUUCCAAGUUUUUUUCUCAUGCAGAAAUUCUAAAUUUCUAUGUUUAUGAAUCCAAACAAGAGAAUUGGUACAUGUUAAUUUUUAAAUUCCAGCUUUUAUCAAAAUUCCAAGUUUAUUUCCCUCAUCCAAACAUAGUGUUAGUUUAAAACUGUGAAGAUUUUGAUUUAUCGAUUACAAACUAAAUAAGUACUUGAAUUCUUAGGCACUUCAACGUAUGAACUUGUGCAAAUGAACAAGGUCGGCCCUGAGAUUUUGAAGGCCCGAGCUAAGCUACCAAAUAGGAGCCCUUUAAUUCUUAGGCACUCCAAUUGGUUGUAGGUUCAUAUACAUUUUAUUUUUAUAGUAAAUACUCAUUAAUUUAUUAUUAUAUCGUACUCUUAUUUAAUUAAUAAUCAACAAUAUGCUAAAGUUUUAAGAAGGUGUUUGGACCCAAAAUUACAUCAUCGGCCCGUGCAAUCAAGGCCGUUGAGUAGGCAUAGCUCUCAAUCGUCGGAUAAAAAAGCAGAGAUAAUUUUGUUAUUAAAGGAUAAUAUUAUGGUUUUUAUCAUAAUUAUCUUUUAAUGAUUUAUCUCGACAUCUUCUUAUGAAAGAGGGAAAAUAUAUCUCCAAGCUGGAAACACGCAGCACAAUUCAAAGCGAUUUGGAUGUUUGGCGUGUGGAUGUGGUUUGGAUCGGUUUUAGUUGACAAAUAUGCAUGCAUGUGAUAAGGGUGAAGUAAAAAUGGUGAUAUGCUUUGAAAAUGAGUCUACAUGUGUUGGUGAUAAGAUGGCAGCAACUGCCUUGCUGACAAUUAACAUUGGGUAUUUUAUGCUAAAUCAUGCAUAUUGGUAUAUGCUUUUGUAUUGUGGGCCAGCAUAUGUUUUUUUUUUAUGGAGCCAAAUUCAUUUAACAAUGGAUAUUUGGAACAAUAAGAAGUUUAAGUAGGCAUAGGCCUUUGAGAGUUUGAGUUUCAGUUGGUUUCUACGAAAUCAUCAAGGCCACGCCAAGCGGGAUCAUGCAUAUUUGAAAGAGAAUAUUCCUAUUAUUUUGCAACUUACGACGGCAAUCUUACGGUUAUAGAGGCAAUGACAACAUAAAGGUGGUAUUUCGAAUUCAACACACAAACUGCCAUGCACAAACUCUUGCUCUACGCGAAACCUCUUAACAACCUUGAGAUUUUUAUUUUCCUUUUUCGCCAACACAUCUUCAGUUUGGAUAAAUAGCACUAUGAAGGCAACCGGUGAACAUCUUCACUUUGGAUAAACAAUACUAUAACCGUAGAACCAUUCGACCAUGAAGCACCUUUAGUUUGGAUAAACAACAUUGCUCCGAGACCGAUUGAUUACCUAUCCAAGUCUCGGUCAAGAAGAAUUUUCAAGUCCUUACUAGUAGAGAUCAUCUCAUCAGCCUUCUCGACGAAGUGAGGUGUUACCAGGUUACUACAUUCGGCACCCUGAGAGCCCAAUUUGAUAUUGAACUUCGUAGAACUAAUAGCCUUGUCUUCAGGUUCUAGAACCUGAAGGUCGAGACGUGUUCAUUUCUCGACCGCAGUCGUGAGAUUCAGAAGUCAAUAGUGCGCCCAAUGCAACAUCAACUCAUUUUACUUACCGGUCAAGCUCGACCGUCGAGUUGGCAUGCCCCACACACAACCGAAGGACAUAGUUAGCUUUUUAAUUACUCGGCUUGUGCGCCACGUAUACUUGAUAGUUUUUAAGAUCAACAGAAGGUAAAGAGCAAUAAAAACUGAUUAACGAAUUUAACAAAUUUAAUAGCGCCAAUUGAUCCUCUUGUAUUCUUCUUGAAAUCAAUUUCACAAUAACGAAUAUUAGAAUCAUGAGAUGAUUGAUAAUAAAUUAUUGAAACAGAGAAGAUAUAGCAAAUAAGAUAAGGUAGCUGGCAUUUGAUAGCGAUUUUGCUUGUAAAACUACACUUUUUGUCCAUCCAGAAGAAACCCAUUCUUCUGUUACAUGGCUUAACCGUGACCACACAAAACAGGAGAGCACGGGAAGGGCACCAGAAGUGGAGGGCAAACAAUCCUUGUCCGUGCUUUGUCCAUCGAGAAUAAGAAAUUGUAGGGACUAGGGGCCCAUUGCUCUUUUGAGAUGCAAGUUAAGGGACCUAACAAAGGGAAGUAAAAAGCAUUGGUAGGACAAAACAAGCCGUUUUAGGAAAACAACUUGGGGGAAGAUUCUCUCAUUUCCUAAUCUCUCUCCCAUUUUCUCUCCUUCUAUUUGAACGGUUACGGUUUAGCUACGUCAAUAUCUUAUAUAUAUAUUUUUAGAGACGAUAAGACAAAAAAUAAUAUGUGGGAGAAGGGAAAAGAAGGGGAUGAGAAUAGGAGGGGAGAUAAUUCUCUUCCAAACAACUUGCCUAUACAAUUCGGAUUCUAAGACGGUGGUAUCCCAAACGAAUCUCAUCCGACUAUGUGUUUAAACAUUGCACAUGACACCACGUGAUUGUUAAAACAUUGUCACCGUAGUGUAUUGUACAUAUACAUGAUUGUUUUGAAGUAACAUCAUCAUUGUGACAUAUUCAUGACGUAUGCUUAUCUCGCCGACUAGAGUUUCAGAUUCCUAACCAGGCGGGCAUAAACGUGCUUACAGCCUAAAAGGCCUUAACCUCAUAGAUCUGAAAACACAUUUCUGUCGGAGAAAUUGUCAAGAAUAAGAUACGAACUAGAGUUUACUCCGGGCAAGAUACCUGAGAUUUUUAGCCGUUAAAGUCAUUGAAUUCUUGACCAAUGAUCUAACAGCUAAGUUCACAUUGUAUAACCGAGGCACACUACAGAACGUAGAAAAAAAUAAUGGGGAUUAAAACGCUUCAUUGGGUAGAGGGAUAAGUGACAAAACAAUGAGAAAAAACACAUCAAUUGUAUUAGAAAUGCAACUUGCCAAUGUGCACAACAACAAAUGAACAUAGUUGCUACUCCACCGCAAAACCACCUCUGUGUCUGUCAAAUCUUAUUAAUCUCUGCGAGCAGAGGUAGCAAAACAACCUUGAAAAAAAACCCCCCACAACUUUCCAUAUGUUUUUUUUGACACCCCCGUUAACCCCUCAUAAUCAUAAACUACUAAUGACACAUUCUUCAAAGAACACGAAAAUAUAAAAAUACUAAUAAAAGAAAACCCAAAUGGCGCAAUGCCUGUAUAGAGAGAGAGAGAGAGAGCGAGAGCAGCAGAGGCUUAAUUCAAUUCAAUGUUUUGAUUCGAAGGGGUGAAGACUGAAGAGCCGCCAUUAAAGCUUUAAGCUUGGGGCUUGUCCCACUUGAGUGGCUUGACAACCUCCCAGGUGAAGUCGGGGUCAUCCCUCCCGAAGUGUCCGUAGGCGGCGGUCUUCAAAAACCUUCCAUUGCCACCCCUCUUGAG